ACGAUUCAAUUCAACAUUUUGUUCAUUCGGGUUUGAUUGUGUCAUAGUUCUAUAGUUGGAAUUUGGUUUAUCGUUGGAUGAACUGCAUUGCUGAUAUUGAUCCCAAGAAAAAAACCGUGGGUACAGCUAAUCCGUGAACAGCCAGCCAUCGCACUGUAAAAAUAGGAUAGGUUCGAUCUAUGGUCAUUGGGGGCCUCCUAAAAGGAUCUACUAAAUUCAUCUAGUUGUUCUAAAGAAUCAAAACGGUCGGUUAUUAAUGGAAUUCCUUGUCGGCUUUCCGUGAAAUACUCGUUUGGUCGAGGACUUCCAAACACGUCAUAAGCUAAACCCGUACUGACAAAUAACCAACCCGCAAUGAAUAGGGAAGGUAUAGUAAUGCUAUGAAUAACCCAGUAUCGAAUACUGGUAAUAAUAUCAGCAAAAGAACGUUCUCCCGUGCUUCCAGACAUGCUGAGCUCCCAAAAUUUUUAUUCAAAAAAGGAAUUGAUUCCGUAAAAGAUGGGAUCCACCAGUAAAUAGAAAAUUACUGAUAUUUCAUCCUUGUGAGAUUGUCAAUUUUGUACCAAAGGUGUAUUUUGAGUAUACCGAAUGAUCUCCCUAGGCCUGUGCCUCACGUUGACAUCCUACGGGAGCUAGCUGUGGUCCCCGUCCCGGCGGGGGGUCAUGACCCACAUCUCGAGCAAAUCCGCGAGAUGCAGGCCAAGCUCGACGAGGGGGCAGGAACACUUGAGCCGAUCCGCCGGGACAUCGGGCGGGAAUGGGCGGGCCAACCUCCAGUCGGAGAAGUGCGUCACCUACCCCAGGGUAUCCAGCACCGCAUCGCCGACGAUGUCAGGGUAAGGCCGCCACCGGCUUCCAGUGGAGUCGGCCAGAACCUGGCUGCAGCGGCAAUGCUUCUUCGCGCGAUGCCGGAGCCAUCAACCACCAAGGGGCGGCGAAUUUAGGGAGAGCUCAAGAAUCUCCUGGAGGACGCCGCGGUCCGACGGGCCGAAAGCUCCGCCUCCCAAAGGCAGGGGUACCCCUCGGAACAUCGCGCCGCAACUUCCCGAUUCAUGCGGGAAGCCUCGGUCCACACCGGGCGCACGCGCAACACAGCGCCUGCCGCCCCGGGUCGCCUCGACAACGAGCACCACCACCGCAACCGUCGGGCCCACCUCGACGAGAGGGUGCGCCGAGGCUACCACCCCAGGCGUGGGGGACGCUACGACAGCGGGGAGGAUCGGAGUCCCUCGCCCGAACCACCCGGUCCGUAGGCUUUCAGCCGCGCCAUACGACGGGCGCCGUUCCCGACCCGGUUCCGAACCCCGACUACUAUCACAAAGUACUCGGGGGAGACGAGACCAGAACUGUGGCUCGCGGACUACCGGCUGGCCUGCCAACUGGGUGGAACGGACGAUGACAACCUCAUCAUCCUCAACCUCCCCUGUUCCUCUCCGAUACUGCUCGUGCCUGGCUGGAACACCUGCCUCCGGGGCAUAUCUCCAACUGGGACGACCUGGUCCAAGCCUUCGCCGGCAAUUUCCAGGGCACAUAUGUGCGCCCUGGAAACUCCUGGGAUCUCCGAAGCUGCCGACAGCAGCCGGGAGAGUCUCUCCGGGACUACAUCCGACGAUUCUUGAAGCAGCGCACCGAGCUGCCCAACAUCACCGAUUCAGAUGUCAUGGGUGUGUUCCUCGCCGGCACCACCUGCCGCGACCUGGUGAGCAAGCUGGAUCGCAAGACCCCCCACCAGGGCGAGCGAGCUGAUGGACAUCGCCACCAAGUUCGCCUCUGGCCAAGAGGCGGUUGAGGCCAUCUUCCGGAAGGACAAGCAGCCCAAGAGCCGCCCACCGGAAGAUGUCCCCGAGGCGUCAACUCAGCGCGGCGCCAAGAAGAAAGGCAAGAAGAAGUCGCAAGCCAAACGCGACGCCGCCGACGCGGACCUUGUCGCCGCCGCCGAGUACAAGAACCCUCGAAAACCUCCCGGAGGUGCCAACCUCUUCGACAAGAUGCUCAAGGAGUCGUGCCCUUAUCAUGAGGGGCCCGUCAAGCACACCCUUGAGGAGUGUGCCAUGCUUCGGCGCCACUUUCACAAGGUCGGACCACCCAUGGAGGGUGGCAGGGCUCACGACGACGACAAGAAGGAAGAUCACCAGGCAGGAGAGUUCCCCGAGGUCCGCGACUGCUUCAUGAUCUACGAUGGGCAAGUGGCGAAUGUCUCAGCUCGGCACCGCAAGCAAGAGCGUCGGGAGGUCUGUUCGGUAAAGGUGGCGGCGCCAGUCUACCUAGACUGGUCCGACAAGCCCAUCACCUUCGACCGAGAUGACCACCCCGACCGCGUGCCGAGCCCGGGGAAAUACCCGCUCGUUGUCGACCCCGUCAUCGGCGACGUUAGGCUCACCAAGGUCCUCAUGGACGGAGGCAGUAGCCUCAACAUCAUCUACGCCGAGACCCUCGGGCUCCUGCGGGUCGAUCUGUCCUCGGUCCGGGCAGGCGCAGCGCCUUUCCACGGGAUCAUCCCCGGGAAACGCGUCCAGCCCCUCGGGCAACUCGAUCUACCCGUCUGCUUUGGGACGCCCUCCAACUUCCGAAGGGAGACCCUCAAGUUUGAGGUGGUCGGGUUCCGAGGAACCUACCACGCCGUGCUGGGGAGACCAUGCUACGCCAAGUUCAUGGUCGUCCCCAACUACACCUACCUCAAGCUCAAGAUGCCGGGCCCCAACGGGGUCAUCACCGUCGGCCCCACGUACCGACACGCGUACGAAUGCGACGUGGAGUGCGUGGAGUACGCCGAGGCCCUCAUCGCCGACCUGGAGAGCCUCUCUAAGGAGGCGCCAGACGUGAAGCGCCACGUCGGCAACUUCGAGCCAGCGGAGACGGUUAAAUCCGUCCCUCUCGACCCUAGCAGCGAUGCCUCCAAGCAGAUCCGGAUCAGCUCCGAGCUCGAUCCCAAAUAGGAAGCAGUGCUCGUCGACUUUCUCCACGCAAACGCCGACGUUUUCGCGUGGAGUCCCUCGGACAUGCCUGGCAUACCGAGGGAUGUCACCGAGCACUCGCUGGAUAUCCGAGCUGGAGCCCGACCCGUGAAGCAGCCUCUGCGCCGAUUCGACGAAGAAAAGCGCAGAGCCAUAGGCGAGGAGAUCCACAAGCUAAUGGCGGCAGGGUUCAUCAAAGAGGUAUUCCAUCCCAAAUGGCUUGCCAACCCUGUGCUUGUGAGAAAGAAAGGAGGGAAAUGGCAGAUGUGUGUAGACUACACUGGUCUAAACAAAGCAUGUCCGAAAGUUCCCUACCCUCUGCCUCGCAUCGAUCAAAUCGUGGAUUCCACUGCUGGGUGCGAAACCCUGUCCUUCCUCGAUGCCUACUCAGGGUAUCACCAGAUCAGGAUGAAAGUGUUCGACCAGCUCGCGACCUCUUUCAUCACACCCUUCGGCAUGUACUGCUAUGUUACCAUGUCGUUCGGCUUGAGGAAUGCGGGUGCAACGUACCAACGGUGCAUGAACCAUGUGUUCGGCGAACACAUUGGCCGAACGGUCGAGGCCUACGUCGAUGACAUCGUAGUCAAGACGAGGAAAGCCUCCGACCUCCUUUCUGACCUUGAAGUGACAUUCCGAUGUCUCAAAGCGAAAGGCGUGAAGCUCAAUCCCGAAAAGUGUGUCUUCGGGGUUCCCCGAGGCAUGCUCUUGGGGUUCAUCGUCUCCGAGCGGGGCAUCGAGGCCAACCCGGAGAAGAUCGCAGUCAUCACCAGCAUGGGGCCCAUCAAGGACUUGAAAGGCGCACAGAAAGUCAUGGGAUGCCUUGCGGCUCUGAGCUGCUUCAUCUCGCGCCUCGGCGAAAGAGGUCUGCCUCUGUACCGCCUCUUAAGGAAGGCCGAGUGCUUCACUUGGACCCCUGAGUCCGAGGAAGCCCUCGGGAACCUAAAGGCGCUCCUUACAAAUGCGCCCAUCUUGGUGCCCCCCGCUGUCGGAGAAGCCCUCUUGAUCUACGUCGCCGCGACCACUCAGGUGGUUAGCGCCGCGAUUGUGGUUGAGAGACGAGAAGAGGGGCAUGCAUUGCCCGUCCAGAGGCCAGUCUACUUCAUCAGCGAGGUACUGUCCGAGACCAAGAUCCGCUACCCACAAAUUUAGAAGCUGCUGUACGCGGUGAUCCUGACGCGGCGGAAGUUGCGACACUACUUCGAGUCUCAUCCGGUAACUGUGGUGUCAUCCUUCCCCCUGGGGGAGAUCAUCCAGUGCCGCGAGGCCUCGGGUAGAAUUGCAAAGUGGGCGGUGGAAAUCAUGGGCGAGACGAUCUCGUUCGCCCCUCGGAAGGCCAUCAAGUCCCAGGUGUUGGCGGACUUCGUGGCUGAAUGGGUCGACACCCAGCUCCCAACAGCUCCAAUCCAACCGGAACUCUGGACCAUGUUCUUCGACGGGUCGUUGAUGAAGACAGGAGCAGGCGCAGGCCUGCUCUUCAUCUCGCCCCUCGGGAAGCACCUACGCUACGUGCUACGCCUCCACUUCUCGGCGUCCAACAAUGUGGCUGAGUACGAGGCUCUGGUCAACGGAUUGCGUAUCGCCAUUGAGCUAGGGGUCCGACGCCUCGACGCUCGUGGUGACUCGCGGCUUGUCAUCGACCAAGUCAUGAAGAACUCCCACUGCCGCGACCCGAAGAUGGAAGCAUACUGCGAUGAGGUUCGGUGCCUGGAAGACAAGUUCUACGGGCUCGAGCUCAACCACAUCGCCCGACGCUACAACGAGACUACGGACGAGCUGGCUAAAAUAGCCUCGGGGCGAACAACGGUUCCCCCGGACGUCUUCUCUCGAGACCUGCAUCAACCCUCCGUCAAGACCGACGACACGCCCAAGCCCGAGAAGGCCUCGGCCCAGCCCAAGGCACCCUCGGCUCAGUCCGAGGUACCCUCGGCUCAGUUCGAGGUACCCUCGGCACAGUUCGAGGCACCCUCGGCUCAACCCGAGGCACCCUCGGCUCGGCCCGAGGUACCCUCGGCCCCGAGGGUGAGGCACUGCGCGUCAAGGAGGAGCGAAGCGGGGUCACGCCUAAUCGAAACUGGCAGACCCCGUACCUGCAAUAUCUCCACCGAGGAGAGCUACCCCUCGACCGAGCCGAAGCUCGGUGGUUGGCGCGGCGCUCCAAGUCGUUCGUCUUGCUGGGAGACGAGAAGGAGCUCUACCACCGCAGCCCCUCGGGCAUCCUCCAGCGAUGCAUUUCCAUCGCCGAAGGUCAGGAGCUCCUACAAGAGAUACACUCGGGGGCUUGCGACCAUCACGCAGCACCUCGCACCCUUGUUGGAAACGCCUUCCGACAAGGUUUCUACUGGCCGACGGCGGUGGCCGACGCCACUAGAAUUGUCCGCACCUGCGAAGGGUGUCAGUUCUACGCAAGGCAGACCCACCUACCUUCUCAGACCCUGCAGACCAUACCCAUCACCUGGUCGUUUGCUGUGUGGGGUCAGGACCUAGUCGGCCCCUAGCAGAAGGCACCCGGGGGCUACAUGCACCUGCUGGUCGCCAUCGACAAAUUCUCCAAAUGGAUCGAGGUCCGACCCCUAAACAGCAUCAGGUCCGAACAGGCGGUGGCGUUCUUCACCAACAUCAUCCAUCGCUUUGGGGUCCCGAACUCCAUCAUCACCGACAACGGCGCCCAGUUCACCGACAGAAAGUUCCUAGACUUCGGCGAGGAUCACCACAUCCGGGUGGACUGGGCCGCCGUGGCCCACCCCAUGACGAAUGGGCAGGUAGAAUGUGCCAACGGCAUGAUUCUGCAAGGACUGAAGCCUCGGAUCUACAACGACCUCAACAAGUUCGGCAAGCGGUGGAUGAAGGAACUCCCCUCGGUGGUCUGGAGCCUGAGGACAACGCCGAGCCGAGCCACGGGCUUCACACCUUUCUUUCUAGUCUAUGGGGCCGAGGCCAUCUUGCCCACAGACUUAGAAUACGGUUCCCCGAGGAUGAGGGCCUACGCCGACCAAAGCAAUCAAGCUAAUCGAGAAGACUCACUGGACCAGUUGGAAGAGGCUCGGGACAUGGCCUUACUACACUCGGCGUGGUACCAGCAGUCCCUGCGACGCUACCACGCCCGAGGGGUUCGGUCCCGAGACCUCCAGGUGGGCGACCUGGUGCUUCGGCUGCGACAAGACGCCCGAGGGCGGCAUAAGCUCAUGCCUCCCUGGGAAGGGCCGUUCGUCAUCGCCAAAGUUCUGAAGCCCGGAACGUACAAGCUGGCCAACAGUCAAGGCGAGGUCUACAGCAACGCUUGGAACAUCCAACAGCUACGUCGCUUCUACCCUUAAGAUGCUUUCAAGUCAUUCGUAUGCCUCGUUCCCAUGCAAAGUUUAGUCAUCAAGGAAGGGUCAGCCUUGCCUCGGCAAAGUCCGACCCUCCCUCGGGGGCUAAAAGGGGGGGAACCCCCUCUGCGCCAAAAUUUUCCUUGGAAAAAGAUCUUUUUCACCAGAAUGUCUUUCGUGCUUUUCGACUACUUCGAAAGUGGAUCCUGAAAACGAUGGAGUACACGUAAGUAGCCAAGGCUGACCGAGCCGAGGGACUCCUACGCCUCCGGGAUACGGAUACCUCACUCAUCACCUUCUGCGAUAAGUAACUCGCGCUCGGAUAAGUGAUUCCGCGGACCAAACAAGUCUUCACGCUCGAAAGCUCCUCUGCUGGAACGAUUUUUCGGGCCUUCUCGACUGCGUCGGUGAUAGAACCCUAUGGACGAGUAAGAGUGCGCGUAAGCGGCAAGGCCGACCGAGCCGAGGGAUUCCUACGCCUCCGGGAUACGGAUACCUCACUCAUCACCUUCCGUGAAAAGCAACUCUCGCUCACACAAACAAUUCUGUUACCGACAAGUAAGUCUAGACACUCGAAACAAGAGGAAAAGAAACGCAGCUUUACAACAUGACGAUGGUAUGUUUGGGCCUCGGUGGCCACAGAAAACAUACACACACUACAAGAUAAUCCGACCCUGCAGGCUCGGAUCUUGACAGUUGAAGGGAGCAGCAGCACCCUCGGCGUCAACUCCACCUUCGGCAAGGUCCGACCUAGCCUCGGACGGCGACGGGGUCGGAGGAUCUCCACUCUGAAGGACGACAUCAGCACCACGCCCAGGCCAUCGCCGCCAGGGUCUUCUCUAGAAAUCCGGCUCGAGCAGACGGCUCGACCGGCCACCCCGAGGCCUCGGUCGGCUGUCCCCCGAAGACACGAGCCUGGCCCGUGGCCUCGGCAACUCAACUCCGGCGUCAAUCCCACCAGCGGACGACCCGGCCAGGCUCCGGCUGACCAAGUCUUCUUUUCGAAGCCAACUCUGCCUCUGUUCGAGCUGACACCGCUACCUCCGGCUUCGGCUCAUCGAAGAGCGGCCGAGGGGUUCCUUUAACUAAGCAAGAGAAGCCUUGGACGGCAAGGCCGACCGAGCCGAGGGACUCCUACGCCUCCGGGAUACGGAUACCUCACUCGUCACCUUCGCACGAGACGACUCACGCUUGGUGAAGCGGUUCAGAUAACCAACAGACGAGUCUUAGUGCUCGAAAAUGAGGAAAAAACACGGCUCCGCGCCGAAAAUACAUACAUGUUCAGGCCCCGACAGCCACAAUGAACAGAAGACCGGCAUUCAAGGUGCCAUUACAAACGGAACCCCGAUUCCACCUCCGCAGGUACGAACAACCCCACACGAUUGGGGGGCCUGCGGAGCAACAGAAGACCGACGAACGGCUCGCCGUCGCCCGCUCCAGCGGCGACGACGACGACGACUUCUGCUCCGGGGGGGCCAAACAGCAGCAGCGAUGACCUCAGGGCGGAUGCUGCUGCCAUGAGGCCCUCGCCCAUGCCCUCACCCGAGAGGCAAGAACGAGCAGAAGGCCGUAGAGUUGGAGGUCAGUCCGUGGGCGGCACCGGCUAUCUCGUCGGCGGAGAAACCUCUUUCGGCUGCCGUGGCGGAAAGCGGCGCCGGGAGCGGCUCCGAAGCCACUCGGCUCAGAGAGCCAGGCACGCGGCAGCUGCCAAUGCCACGAACGACGAACGCCCUUCGCCCCGAUCACUGAGGGAAGGAGCAGGCCGCCGCCUGCGUAGGGGCCGACCCCAACUCGGCACACUCCCCUCCCCAGCACUGAUGAUGAAAAUCCUUGGAGCCGAGGGAGGGGCAGAGGCCGCAACCCGGCUCGCUUUUCCCACCAUCGAACUGGAGGUCACCGUCUUGGGUGACCACCGGCGAGGGGAUGCAGCCGGGCUGCCUGAUGAAAAUCCUUGAAGUCGAACGAUGGCUGAAAGGUACCAACUUCCAUGAAGUUGCGUUCCUCCAACGGCAAGGCGGAAGGAUUGCGGGUGUUCCCCAUCCGGGGGCUCGGAAGGUGGAAAGACACGAUGCAUAAGGGAGCGCGAAGACAUGGUCACCUUCCAAGGGAGUCACCCUCCUUUCAAAGGCGACUCUCCCUACUUGUGUCCCCAGCCGUCGCGGGCUGAGUCUUCUCCAACACGCUCCAAGAUCCUCCCCCUACGGCGCGGGGGCUGGGUCCCACGCGUCAUGCAAGCUGGCCCAGAGUAGAAGAAGCCAAACCGCCGCGCGUGGUGCAUGCAACUGCCCAACGGUUACGAGCAUUCCUCCACUUUCGCCCAGACCAGCGGGUGAAAGGGCGGGCAGCCAUGCAGGCGGCAUGCAACCGUGCCAAGUGGGCGCACCCCUCCGACUUCCAACGCACCCAGCAUGGAGGCCCAGGCCCACGCGUCAUGCAACCGGCGCGCCGGUUGCUACGUGCGAGCAACUGCACCGCCACUCGCACCACUACCACGCCUCCUCGACUGCGGAACCGGUACCGCGACUCGAGGCAACCCUGCGUAUGACCCAGCAGUGCCAGCCAGGCGCGACGGUCAAUACGGCCAAAAAUGGGCCGGCAGUAAUGGCGGUGGCAGGCGGGCAGGAGCAGCGGUCACGUCGUCAGCCAAGCUUACGUCCCAUCCAAGGGCAGCGAGAGAACCCUCUCUCACGGUGUGAAGACGGCGCGCCCGUGUUCCGUUCCUCGAACGGCUCGCGCACGCGCAACGGCCGCCUCGUGAACCACUCGCCCCGUCGCAUUAACUCCGCGGCGGGACAGGCGGCGCCUCAGGCAGGAGAAGCAAGCGACGCUUCGCCUUCGCCAUAAUGACCGCGUCAAAAAAGGUACGCCACGUCAUUCGAUUUCGUAUCCUUUUCCUUUUCCUCUUUCUCUCUGUUGGGGGCCUUCGGCUUCCGAAGGUCCUCAAAAACAUGAUUUAACAAUGUUUCUGGAGUAUAAUGUGUGAACAGGUAUCUUCGGACUCGAAUCGGUACCACAGUGGGAGAAGCCCAAAGAAUACGAAGGUUGACAAAGCGCCGAAGCUGUGAGCAGGAAAGCUUCAACGUGAUAGCAGAAAAGGAAACCGACUUAAAGAUGAAAACGCUAUUCAGACCUCGGAGGAUUACUAUAGAAUUACUACCAAAUGUAAAGGGCAUGGGUGUAAUUUUACAUGGGCUGUGUCCAGUGACUAUAAAUAGGUGAACAGUGCCCCCGUACUGUUCACGCGGACUGGGCAUUUACUUUUGCGUCACGCUUGUACUUCUACCUUCUUUCGAGCCAAAGGUACAUUUGUAAUUUGAUAUCAUUUCUAUAUUUCUAUAAUAAUAAUAUAGAAAUGAGUUGAUAAUUAUAUAUAAUUGUUUACGUUAUCCUUUAUAUUACAUAUGAUUCCUUCUUCAUUAUGGUAUGUUGUGUUGAUGAAGGUUUGUUCUUCAUAACCUUCGUCCGAAAAUCAUUAUAUCCCAAGGGAAAUAAUGCUUCGAAGGACGAAGGACUUUAACGUUUAACAUUUUUUGUGUUGCCUUGUUCUUAACUCAUAGCAUUUGAGAAUAAGUCCUCAACAUUGGCGCCCACCUCCGGUGAACUCACUUCCACUCUUUGAGUUUUGAACAUCUUCGACAAUCAUAAACCUUCGAUAUGGCGCCGAAGAAAGCUUCAGCAACUGGGGCUGCAGCUCUGCAACCGCUGGACCCCAAUCAGGAGACUCUCUCCCUUCGGGAGGCCCGAAGCCAGAAGAGGAAGGCUGUCAGCCCGACACCGCAAGAGGAUGAGCUAGACCAAGAAAUCAGAGACAUGGAGAUGCUUCAUCAACAGGUGCAGAGGAAGAAGGAAAAGAUGGCCAGGCUAGCUGAACUGCAAAGGCAGAUAGACGAAGCCUCUAAAGAAGUUCGUCAUCUUACUCAGGAUGAGCAGAACCGAAGGCCUCAGCACAAAGACCUUCAUCAGGAGGACUUCUUCAACAAAGAUGACUGGUAUGAGAAUUUCCACCAUGGAAAUUUUGUUUUUGAUGAUGCUUCUCCUCUGUCCGCUGAGCUGCAGGCUACACCUUGUCCUCCGUCCUACAAGCCGCCCCAGCUUCCCAUAUUCGACGGCCAUUCAGACCCGAAGCAGUUUUUGAUGAGCUACGAAGAAACAGUAUCUUUGUAUGGUGGCAAUACUGCAGUCAUGGCAAAAUCUUUUGUUAUGGCUGUCAGGAGUGUUGCUCAAACCUGGUAUUCCUCCCUUCGACCAGGAACGAUCACUUCAUGGCAAAAGCUGAAGGACAUGUUGUUAACCAGUUUCCAAGGGUUUCAGACGAAGCCGGUCACUGCUCAAGCUCUAUUCCAAUGCACCCAGGAUCAUGAAGAAUACCUUCAGGCAUAUGUCCGGAGGUUCUUGCAUUUGAGGGCACAGGCGCCAACAGUGCCCAACGAAAUUGUCAUUGAGGCCAUGAUCAAGGGACUUCGGCCAGGACCUUCAGCUCAGUACUUUGCUAGGAAGCCUCCUCAAACUUUGGAGAAGCUGCUCCAGAAGAUGGACGAGUAUAUUCGGAUCGACAAUGAUUUUCGUCAAAGAAGGGAGGAGGCUUUCAGGUUUUCCGAAAUGACCAGGGGCUUCGGAGGAAGAUUUUAUCCGAGGCACGUUAGGUCAAUUCACAACUCUACUCAAAAUGAUGAUAAGGGGAGCCAGCAGCAAAGGCCACAGGGCUCCUCACAGGCUUCGGGGCAACAGCAAAGCUCCUUCCGGCCGCCAGCUCCAAGAGGCAGAGGUGCCAGGGGCUUCGGCGGAAGAUUUGGAGAUCAACCAAGGAGAAUAUUUUGCUUGUUCUAUGGUGAAAACAAGGGUCAUACCACCAGGAUGUGCCAUGUUACCAUCCAGAAGCAAAAGGAGAUAGCCGAAGCUGCAGCACAACAGGGUCAGCCGAAGCAGAUCAUGCACACUCCUUCGUAUCAUUCGCCUUAUAUCCCAGAAUAUGUAGGCAACCACCCCGCAGUUUCUGUUGCUUCGGCGAGUCAAUCUCAAGCUUCCUGGCAACAGCCUCCGCCUCCACCACCGCUGCAACAAGGCCAGCAGCCAGAAGGGGGUCAAUAUGCUCAACACCAAAGGGACUUCAGAGAGCAGUCCGAAGCUCGCACAGUCAAUAGCACUGUGCCAGAGUCGAAGCACAUUUAUUGACAAAUAUCCUACCUUAAUAGUAGUCUUUUCCAUUCAGUUUUAUUUUCUGUGUAAUAAAGGACACUUUUUAAAUCUCAUGUAAUAGUUUCGUUGUUUGCCACAAGGAAAAUAUAUCUUUUCCACAGGCUUAAGUUGUUGAAGCUUAAAGAUUUGCGAUAGCAAGGAGGACCUUCGAAUUAUCAAAAAUUUAUUUUAAAAAGGCACGGUAUGAAUUCUUCGAAGCAACAAAAAGUCGUUCUAAGGAACGCAGAGUAAGUUUGCUGAAGUUACAAAAAGACGUUCCAAAGGGAGCGCAGUGUAAGUUUUCUGCUCAAAAGUCGUUCCAAAGGGAAUGCAGAGCUUACAGCAAAAAGUCAACGCUGAUUCCGCCUAAGUAAAAGGCGAAGCGCGAAAAGUCAACGCGAAUACCGCCGAAAGUAAAAGGCGAAGAAGCUCCUAAGGGAGGCUUACAGCGAAAAGUCAACGCUGAUUCCGCUGAAGUAAAAGGCGAAGAAGCUCCUAAGGGAGGCUUACAGCGAAAAGUCAACGCUGAUUUAAAAAGAUUAUGUGUUUUUAUUGCGCGGAUGUGCGUGUGUCUUCGGAAUAAAUACCAUUUUACAUAGCAUAACAUCAUCACAUCAUUUUGCAUAGCAUAAGCAUCAUGCAUCAUGCUGCAUAUGGCACAAGAAGGGGACACAAUAUCGAUCUUCGGAAGAAUGCUUUGAAAAAGGGAAAAUCAUGCUAAGUCACAAGGAGAUACAAUAUUGAUCUUCCGAAUGUAGCUUCGGAAAAUAUUUUCACGAAGCUUGGAUAUUCUUCAUCAGAACACUAUGGAUAUUGUUGUGAUGAAUGAAAAUUCUUCUUCACAAAGCAUGAAAAGAAGGGAAGGUGUUUUUUCGUCAAAGACUCAAAAACGGUACGUAUGUAGAAUUUCAUGCAUCGUAAAGAAUUGAACCAUAAAAACAAGUAUAUUACAUUCAGAGUUACAAGAUAUUACACAUACAAGAUAUUACACAUAUUACAUUUCAGAUGUUUUUAUAAUAGCACCUAGUCUUCCCUAAGUACUACUUCCGCAGCUUCGUUCAGGAGUUGAUUGACAACUUGAUCCAUGAUAGCUUCAGCCAUCUUUUUAAUUUCAUCGUCUUCUUUCGGGUGAGGACCCGGAGAUGCUUUAGAAGGAUCUGAGGGAGGACAGGAUACGGCUACAUUGCUAUUACAAAUUGCGAACGAAGUUUAAAAUCAAAAAUUACAGCACAAUAAAAACCAUUAGUUAAUACCUAUUUGCCCUUCAGGCUCUGCGCUUUUUUCAACAGCCUCUGCUACUUUUCUUGCGGCGUGAAUGCCUUUUUCGCUUUUUUGGAUAAUUUCUCGGGCCAUUUCUCGACCACCAUUGUCCCAGAUAUCGGUGAAAAAUUUUCCACCAACCAUGCUAGCUUCGGCUGAAGGAUCUUUUGCAUCUUCGAAGGGCAAGGUAGCUUCGGAUUGCGCUAAAAUCUUUACAUGCUCGCAGCCUUUUCUCUCCAAAAUGGUGGCAAUCCCCCUGGCACCCGAAAAAGCGCAUAUGUCUCCGCGGCUAUUUAAAAUUUCCUCAAAGGCUUCAGCUUCGUGAUUAAUCCAUUCGAUGGGACCUUCGGGGUUGCCUCUUGUAAAGUUUUCUUCGCUCGAGAAUGCGCCAACGCUGGCGAAGCUAGCUUUCAUUUUCUUAACACACUCCAUAGAUUUGUCAUAACAUCUUUUCUUGGACGAACGAAGCUCUUCAACAGUUCCUUCUAAAUGAUUUGCCCAUUGGUCGCUAAGUUCUCGCUUCGUUUCUUCAAGUAUGUGUUCUUCUUUAGCUCGGGCUAAUUGCUUCCGAAGAUCAUCAAUCUCGUGCUUUUGAGCUGCAGCUUGUGCUUUAGAGGCAGCUUCGUCCUCCUUUAUUUUAUCCACCAAUGUAACUAGAAUUUUGUCCUUUUCCAAGGCUUCGUUUCUUAGUUUGAUAACCUCUGUUCGAAGGUUGUUGAAAGCAAUUUCAUAGCUCUCGUCUUCGGCAUUCUUUUGCGCUCUCAGCGCGUUGCUUAGAAUUAAACCCUAUAUGUAAAAGAGUUAGUAUAAGAAUAAAAGAGUAAAUUUCAAAUCAUAAAGUUUCCAAAUGCGCAGAUCUCGCACCUUCAGGCUAUUAUACGCAAGGCUGUCUGCAAGAUCGUCCUUUGUCAUCGCGCAGAGGCCAGCCUCCAGCUUCGGAAACCCCAUGCUUCGGGCCAUUUCCCGGCAGACGAGUAAUUCCUUGUUAUCCGGGAGGCAGUAUAGAAAAUCUUCUUCAUUUGUACCAUUGAACACUAGUGCCCCCUUCGGAUAUUUCAAUUCUUUGGCAUAAUGAUUAGCUUCAAAAACUUCUUCUUCUGAUAACUUUUUCCCCGAAGCGUGUCGAACAAUGUAAUCAAGGACUUUGGGGGAUGCUUCGGGGGCAACAGCACUGAUUUCUUCAACAAGAAUUGGCUCCGUCAUUUUUUCUUCCUCGGUUUCCAAGGGUUUUACCUUCGUGGGCUCUAAAGGCCCAGCUUCAGUCUCAGUUUGUUGUUUUGGAGCUUUAGUGUCAAAGAUUUCAGUUUCCGCUUCGGAAGUUUCAAUAGUCUUCUUCGUAGUCGUGCUUGAGGACUUAAUUGUCUCCAGAACAUCUAGCACAUUGACCAUUCUUUUUCUUUUCGGGGUCACCGCUGGGCCCUUUUGGUUUUUUAUUGUCUCAACACUUGCUGAAGGACUUAAAAUUUCCAAUAUUUUUGUUCCUUCAGUUCUCGGUUUUUCUGCUUUCUUUGCUGAGGGUGCUUCAGUUUUUUCUUCGAUCUUCGGCACUGAAGUUGGUUCUUUAAUUUCGGUGGCCGAAGAGGUUUCGCCGGCGAACUCAGGCACUGUAGCUAGUUCAAUGUAGCGUGGCCGGUGGGUGAGAACCUUUACCCUUUGUCUCUUCGGCGCUGGCUCGCUGGGAGCGGCUGAACUAGUUUCCUGUGCAGAAGUUGCGCUUUUUCUUUUUUGGCCCCGCGCUGGAUAGUGGUAGUCGGGGUACAUGAACCCAAUUGCGUCAAACACUCGGUUCAGUCUUAUCUUUUUCCGCCCUCCGAAGGCUGCUGACAAUGCAGUAUCUUCGGCCUUUGAAUAAACCCCAAGUAGUUCAUCACUUAAAUUUUCAAUGCUUUUCAGCCAGUCAUCAUCUGGCUCAACGAAUUUAUCUCCAAACUUGAAAGUGUACUUCAGCCUGAUAAGUCCACCUUCGUCAGCCUCCUUUAUGGUCUCUUGCGGCAUUUCCCAUCUUUCCGCGAGCGGCCAUACUCUGAAGGCAAUAUGCUCUUGGACCAAAUCCCUCGUUCCAAUAAAAGAGCAAACAACUCCGAAGGCUCUCUGGCAUUCUUCGGCAGCUUCAUUCAUUUCAACCUUCAGCUUCCGCAUGCCGAAGCGUUGCCAAAUAGGGCGCAUAAUUAUACCUUUAAUAUCUUCCCGUGUUUUCAGGUCAUUCUUCACAUAAAACCAUUCUGUCAUCCAGUUGCCGGGCCAUCUCUUCCGAAAGGUUGGCACGGGACAGCUUGACCCGGACCGAGAGACGAAACUGUAGCAGCCAAAAUUAUUGUGAUACUGCUCCUUACCCCAGGGUUUUGUCUCGUAUAACAAUUCGUGUAUGUUGCAGAAACUUUUCGCAUCAGGUUCCAGACCUUGGCUUCUCACGGCCCACACGAAGAUAUUCAUCCUUAUGAUUGCUUCGAGGGUAAGUUGGUGAAGAUAGAUUUCAAAUAUUUUCAACACCUCUACGACGAAGCUGCUCAGGGGAAAUCGUAGUCCAGCUUUCAAAAAGCUUCGGAAUACUACGACUUCAUUUUCCUCAGGGGUCGGACAAGUCUUCUCUCCUUCGUCGGCCCUCACAACGGACAAGUCCCGGAAAUAUCUUCCUCUCAUGUUGACAAGGUGAUUUUCUUUGAUACUUGAUUUGCCAAAAACCGCAUGGCUUGGUCGCCAAGGGCGAUCUUCGGAGUCUUCACCACCACUAUCCGCAUCAUAACUGUCGUUGUCAUCAGUAUCUUCAGAUAAACCCUCUAAAAUCUCUUUGGUGAUCUUUUCUGUAUUGGUUUUCGACAUUGCUUCAAGAAACCCCAGGUUUUUCUCUUCAGAGAGACUCAGCUUCAUCUCGAUAGCAGCCUUUUUAUCUUCAGACAUCUUCGAAAAUGCUAAAAAACUGUUUUCAAAGCCGAAGCUUGAAAACUUAAAAAGCCAAGCAAGUGUUGGUGCGCAAGAGCUAAAAAUUGAGUAAGCAAGAGCAGAUGGCAAGAAAGCGUGCUAACUGAGCUCGUGCUAUGCUCUUAUUUAUACGCCCAGUGCAUUGAAAAUUGGAAGACCCCGCUUGUCAGUGAAUGUUGCUAUUCUAGCAAAGGGAAGGUGUUUUUUCGGACCUUCGGCUUAAGGCCUCCGUCCAUGUCGCAAUCUAAAUUUAUCAUUCUAACAAAUUAAUAUUGCGAGGGGCUACUAUUGGGGGCCUUCGGCUUCCGAAGGUCCUCAAAAACAUGAUUUAACAAUGUUUCUGGAGUAUAAUGUGUGAACAGGUAUCUUCGGACUCGAAUCGGUACCACAGUGGGAGAAGCCCAAAGAAUACGAAGGUUGACACAGCGCCGAAGCUAUGAGCAAGAAAGCUUCAACGUGAUAGCAGAAAAGGAAACCGACUUAAAGAUGAAAAGGCUAUUCAGACCUCGGAGGAUUACUAUAGAAUUACUACCAAAUGUAAAGGGCAUGGGUGUAAUUUUACAUGGGCUGUGUCCAGUGACUAUAAAUAGGUGAAUAGUGCCCCCGUACUGUUCACACGGACUGGGCAUUUACUUUUGCGUCACGCUUGUACUUCUACCUUCUUUCGAGCCGAAGGUACAUUUGUAAUUUGAUAUCAUUUCUAUAUUUCUAUAAUAAUAAUAUAGAAAUGAGUUGAUAAUUAUAUAUAAUUGUUUAUGUUAUCCUUUAUAUUACAUAUGAUUCCUUCUUCAUUAUGGUAUGUUGUGUUGAUGAAGGUUUGUUCUUCAUAACCUUCGUCCGAAAAUCAUUAUAUCCCAAGGGAAAUAAUGCUUCGAAGGACGAAGGACUUUAACGUUUAACAUUUUUUGUGUUGCCUUGUUCUUAACUCAUAGCAUUUGAGAACAAGUCCCCAACACUCUCUCUCUUACAACAGGGACCGGGAAAGGGGGAUACCCCGAAAAGGAUCCUUCUCCAUGAAGGAAACAGGCCCCGAGCCUCCCUACUGAUCAGAGGUUCAAAGGCUGGCCCCUCGGAGGGGUUCAACGGCCGCCUCAGAGCGCUUGGGUUCCGCGCCCACUACUGGUCAGAGGUUCGAAGGCCGGCCCCUCGGAAGGGUUCAACGGCCGCCUCAGGCCACCCGGGCUCCGCGCCCACUACUGAUCAGGGGUUCGUAGGCUGGCCCUCGAAGGGUUCACAGUCGCCUCAGACACAGAGCGAGGGAUGACCCUGGGUACGUUCGAUACAUAACCAAGGCUCGGGCUACGCUCCCGAGGUACCCUAGGACAUUUCCGAGACCAGCGGGAACGAUCUUGUAAUGGAAUCCCAUCAGAGGGAGGCAUCGAGCCCUCGGACCCCGUCGAAAGGGGACCGGGUCCGGCAGAUCACCCACAGGUACUUUUGGAGCGCGCCUCCGGGCCUCUAGCCGACCCCUAACAAAUGGGGCACGGGCGUCCACUCGGAUCACCCGUCAGCAGCUCACCGGAAACACCAUGUUCGACGCCCUCCGAGGGCAACAUGGCGCUUUCCCCCCUCCUCCUUGCGGAAAGGCGACGCAGGGGCGUAUGUAAAAAAGUCGAGUCUGUCCUUGACCGUCCUCUCGCCCUGUGCAGAGGCUCGGGGGCUGCUCUCGCAAACCCGGCUCCGGCCAAACCGUUGACAGCGUCAACAUACCAGCCCGAGAACUUGGGACCCGAUCGUGCACCCGGGCUACAGCCAGCUCGCAUGAGGGAACAACCAGACCAGCCGAAGUUUUGCGAAAUGCAUUAAGACCUCGAAGGAGUCAAACCACUCCUCCGAGGCCACGGGGGCUACACCCGGCGGGUGCGCUCGCGCGCACCCACCGGAACAAAACGCAACCGAGAAAGGCUGGUCCCCUUGCAAAAAAGUGCGACAAAAGCCUCCAAGCGAGUAUUAACACUCCCUUCGAGACUCGGGGGCUACUGUCGGGGACCAUAAUUAGGGGUACCCUCAAGACUCCUAAAUCUCAGCUGGUAACCCCCAUCAGCACAAAGCUGCAAAGGCCUGAUGGGUGCGAUUAAGUCAAAGGUCGGUCCAUUCGAGGGACGCGAUCACGCCUCGCCCGAGCCCAGCCUCGGGCAAGGGCAGCCGACCCCGGAGGAUCUACGUCUCGCCCGAAGACCCCCUCCAGCAACGGGCAUACCCUCGGCUCGCCCGAGACCGAGUCUUCACGGAGAAGCAACCUUGGCCAACUCGCCACGCCAACCGACCAAAUCGCAGGGGCAUUUAAUGCAAAGGUGGCCUGACACCUUUAUCCUGACGCACGCCCUCCAGUCGACAGAGCCGAAGUGACUGCAGUCACUUCGCCGCUCCACUGACCGGUUUGACAAGAGGACAGCGCCGCCUGCGCCGCUCCGACUGCUGUGCCACUCGACAGAGUGAGACUGGCAGCAGCCAAGUCCGACCUCAGGUGCCAUAGGAAACUCCGCUUCGCCCGACCCCAGGGCUCGGAUUCGAGCUCGGCCCCGGAAGACGGCGAACUCCGCUCCGCCCGACACCAGGGCUCGGACUCGGGCUCGGCCCCGGAAGACGACGGACUCCGCUUCGCCCGACCCCAGGGCUCGGACUCGGGCUCGGCCCCGGAAGACGGCGAACUCCGCUCCGCCCGACCCCAGGGCUCGGACUCGGGCUCAGCCCCGAAGGACGACGAACUCCGCUUCGCCCGACCCCAGGGCUCGGACUCAGCCCUGGCAUCAACCGACGGUCUCCGCCUCGUCCGACCCGGGGCUCGGACUCGACCUCGACCUUGGAAGACAGACUCGACCUCGACCUCGGAGGAGCCUACACCUCGCCCAACCUAGGGCACGGACCGACCACGUCAACAGGAGGCGCCAUCAUUACCCUGCCCCAAGCUGACUCAGGCUACGGGGAACAAGACCGGCGUCCCAUCUGGCUCGCUCCGCCAGACAAGUAAUGAUGGCGCCCCGCACGCUCUAUGACGACGACGGCUCUCAGCCCCCUUACGGAAGCAAGAGGACGUCAGCAAGGACUCGACAGCCCCGACAGCUAUCCUUCCGCCAGGCUCCAGCGCUCCUCCGACGGCCACGACACCACACGAACCGGGUGCCAAAACCUCUCCGGCUGCCACGAUGGCAUGUACUUAGGGCGCUAGCUCUCCUCCGCUAGACACGUUAGCACACUGCUACACCCCCCAUUGUACACCUGGAUCCUCUCCUUACGCCUAUAAAAGGAAGGACCAGGGCCCUCUUACAGAGGGUUGGUCGCGCGGGGAAGGACGGGACGGCGCUCGCGUGAGGCCGCUCGCUCCCUCCCGCGUGGACGCUUGUAACCCCCUACUGCAAGCGCACCCAACCUGGGCGCGGGACAAACACGAAGGCCGCGGGAUUCCACCUCUCACGCCCGUCUCCCUCCGGCUUCCUCCCCCCUUCGCGCUCCGUCUCGCGCCGACCCAUCUGGGCUGGGGCACGCGGCGACAAUUUACUCGUCGGUCCAGGGACCCCCCGGGUCUCGAAACGCCGACACCAUCUGAUUCUUAAAGCCCUUGCGAAGCGUUCAAGGUCCAGUAUGCCUAGACCCCCCUUGUUCUUUGGCAGACAUGUUGUAGACCAGUUGAUCAAACAUUGACCUCCACUGCAAGUUUCAGGAUCGUUUCCUUUCCAGAGAAAGCCUCUUCUUAUCUUAUCAAUUUUUUGCAGCAGCCAUUUUUGAACCGGAAAAACCAUAAGUUGAUAAAUCGGUUGGGCGGUUAACACCGAUUUAACCAAAGUUUCUCUGCCUUCCUUUGAGAGGAGUCUGCUUUUCCAACCGGCCAACCUUUUACUGAUUUUUUCCAAUAGCGGUUGCAGGGUGAUCCUUUUAACCUUCCUAAAGUGUAGGGGGAGACCAAGAUACUUUCCGGGCAGAUUAGCAUAUUUGCCAGGGAACACUUCGGAGAGAUUUGGCCAAAGGGACUCAGGAUAACGUAUUGGAAAGAUUUCAGUUUUAUCAAAGUUUAUCUUUAGCCCUGAACAUCCUUCGAAGACUUCUAGAAUCGUUUUAAGAACUUUGAGGUCCGAAUUGUCUGCUCUCACGAACACACCGACAUCAUCUGCAUACAGGGAACAACGAAGCUUUGCCCCUUUCGGCAGGACACUUCCCAAUAGCCCGGCCUGUGCCGCCUUUUCGAUCAUCCGCUGGAGAGGAUCCAUUGCUAAAAUGAAUAGAAAGGGAGAAAGAGGAUCCCCUUGUCGUACGCCACACUUGUGGUUAAUUCUGUUUGUUUGCUCUCCGUUGAUUAUUAUUUUGGAAGAAGAUGAACCCAGAAUUAUAGCGAUCCAAUCACGCCACCUUUGGGAGAAACCGAGGGCUCUUAACACAUAAGGAGAUAUGUCUAAUUUAUGGAGUUGAAGGCUCUGGAGAUGUCAAGCUCUCUUGUGCCAAUAUUUUUCAGAAACUUGUUUCUGACUCUUGCUACAGGGUUCAUAUUCUCCCCGCUGUUGCAUCGUUUGAUGGCUGCAGCAUAAGAGUCAUUUCCAAUUUCCAAGUACUACUAGUAGUAGCUGCUAACACACGAUUACACGCAGCACUCCGAAAAAGCGAGACAGAUACAAUGUCUUGACACCAACUAGCUAGUAUUCCUGAAUCCCGAAAGGCAAGGACGAGUGGACGACCGAGCAAUCCAACAGGUGCCUGAUGGCAUGUCACGGCCGAUGGCCCACUCGCGCCCGCCCGCACGGCUGCAGUACAUCACAACAGAUGCGACGGGCACGACACGUAGUGCAUAAACUCGGCGUCGUGGAGCAGCGCCGCCAUGGUCUCCGGAGGCAGGCACACCUCGAUGUCCACGCUGCCGUCCCCGGCUCGUCCCGGGAACGCCGACAUCUUGCCGUCGAACUUGUUGGCGCGCCCGCUCCGCACAGCGAGGGGCCGGCCCCAGCCGAAAUCGUUGCCCACGUACAUCGGGAACCGGUUCGAGCUCCCCAUCGUGAUCACCGAGCCGUCGGGGUUGCCCAGCGGGAAGCACCGGGGUGCGGCCUGCCACGCGGCCGCCGCGCGCCGGAUCGUGCCGUCGCCAUAGGCCGCAAGGGUCGCGUUCAGCUUGCCUGCCGCCCACCUUAGAUCGCUGCGAGCCAGCUCGGAGACUGUCGCCAUCGUCGCAGCGCUCUGGAUGGCGUUGCCAAAGUAGACAGGAGAGAUGGGCGGCUGCAGCCGGUGCCGGCAGUUCACCGCCAUUCGGAACGUCGUCGUCGCGUCGGGCGCCAGGCGUUUCCGGGCACGCGUGACCGAGAGCCAUAUCUGCGCGCACAGUGACUGGAACGACGAGAUCUCCCCGCGCACUUGGGGAUUCUUGGGGUCCUGCGCCAUCUUGCCGUAAACCUCGGCGUCUUGGCCACCGCUCGGACGGCGGUUGGCAAUCGCUUUCAGCUCGCGAAUUGCGUCAGCGCUGAAGUGAAAGACGCGCUCACGGAGAGGCGCGUCCACGUCGAAGGUCACGGACGGGCCGACGCCGCCGGGGAAGCGGAGGACGGCAGUGGACUCGCCGAAGAAGCUUCGGCGGAAGUCCGGCAGUUUGGGGGACUCGCCGCGGCAGAUGGCCGCCCAGGUAUUGAAGAAUUGCCAAAAAGAGGUGCCGUCCACGACGGCGUGGUUGGCGACGAUGCCGAUAAAGACGGUGCCGUCUCCGAGUGCGGUGACCUGGAACGACGUGAGCGGGCGACGGUGCCCCUCGUAGCUCACGGUCCGGUCCAUGGGGAACAGGUCCUUUGUGUGCUUGGUCGGCACGUCGGCGUCAGGGACGAGAAAGUCGUCAAGCGACAGGCCGGGUGCGACGGCGUGGAGGAAGUCCACGCCCGCGUCGUUGCAGCGGAUGACGAUGCGGUCGUCGGGCAGCGUGACGAAGCGGCCGGCGAGGGCCGGGACGACGGCGAGCGCCCGCGACAGCGAGGACAGGAGCAGCGACACGACCGAGGACAUGGGCAGGUCGGGUGCCGGGAAGAAGAGCCCCUUCUGGAUGUAGUGGCACGACAGCAUGGGCAGGUCGGAGACGGAGAGCGUGAGGUCACCGACCGCCGACGCGGCGUCCGGGCGAACGUGCUGCCUGGACACGACGGUGAUGCCCGAGGGCGGCGCGUCCAGGCAGGCGGCGGCCGGCAGCUUGGGCAUAAUGGCUGACGAGGCCGGGGCGGCGUCCAGCAUGGGCAUGGUGGAGAUCAUCUGAGCCAUGUGUUCGAUUGCCCGGCGCAGCGCUGCACCACCGACCGCUUGCUGCUAGCUGCUGAUGAAGCAGUAGCGGUGGCAGUAUGCGUGUGUGUGGCCAAAGAGGUGGUUUGGGCAGUGCCGCCUUUGCUGUGACACCACCGAACAACCUUGGGCAGUUUAUAUAGGACACGAUGAGGCGCUGGAUGCAUGCACCUGGACCGGUAGUCUGCCUUCUUUUGCCACUACUGUUUUGGAUAUUCUCUGGCCAGGUAUUUGUGGCUGUCGGAAGCAGAAACAGAUGUAUCCGAUAAAGGUGUAGCUAGAGAUUUGUUCUAUGGCCUGCGUGAACAGCGUGUGCGACACAACAAGAAGACACAAUAGAUACCGUUUAAUUUAGAAGCGCACUGGUGAUUUGGAUGUUGGAUCUCAUCAGAAAAGUUUUUUUAACGAAUUAUUUCAGCAUAGCCUUUCCGCAAAAAUAUCGGCAUAUACUAUACUAUUUUUAAAAUAUAUAUAUACAUAGUUUUGUUUUUGCUGCAUACUUCAGCCGGUUGGAUUGUUCUGCAGCUGCCAACAGGUGUCUCCUCUGGGAUGAAGAGGAACAAGUGUCCAUGGAUGCACCAGAAUUUUUUUUAAAUAUAUUUCUUUCAAAGCAAUGACGGGUACCUGUGGAAAGGCUAGCUAAUCAAACCGGUAACUGAUCGGUUUGAUGACUGUUAGAGCACUUGUUGACGAGAUAUUACAGAUUACACUGAAUGACUGAGCAUGUUGUUGGGCGGAUUCAAUGAACACGCAACGGCUUUCCGUAUUAAAAUGAACAACAAACGUAACAUCACAGGGUUUUUUUUUAAAAAAAAAAUCUUGUCGUGCUAAUGUAACCUCGAUUAAUUGUGUUGAGCCUACCGGAUUUUUGAAUGCGUUAGCCACUACUACUAGUCUAUCUACUACUAUAACGUUCGUCCAGCUGCUAGCUACGUGCGUACUACUGUAGGCGAUUAGGCUGGGGGCAGCAUCUCCAUAAUUAUUCAUUCAAUGUGUAGUCCAAUCCAUAUCCGCCUCCUCAAGAACAAGGAGUAUUGAUUAUUUCCAGUAGCGUCAGUUACGUGGUCUACGUCCCUGCUGAAAUAGAAUACGUUGCUCUUGCCUUGUUGCCUAGUCAGUCUAGUGACAUAUGGAUCGCCGCUUGCUCAAUGAUGCUCUCAGUUCUUUACAUUUUCCGUCGAGAAUGGUGCUGUGCGCAUUUUAAUUUAAUUUUGUUUUCCUUAUCGCAACGGUAUUUUAUCGUGCUUAGUGCAUUAUACCAAGUGAAUUGUACACUUGAAAAAAAAAGGUUCAGCGAUGCUAGCUUCUUUGCUGACGGACGGAACACCUAAUGAACUUUCAGUCUGUCAAUGUACGUAAGUAAUCCGUACACGGCUGACGAUCAAUGUAUUUUUUUGAGGAUGCGAGUGGUACUCUUGCCAAUCUUUAGCAAGAAUACGGUACGGGAGGCAUAGAUUUGCGCAGCAGAUCGCAUCAGCGUACGACGACGCUUCUGUAGCCCCAAGCCGGCCCGGCGGCCGUUGUUGGCUGCCUGCCUGCCUCGUGCCCCAGCACGUACGCAUGCAGUGAGCGUCGUCAGGCCCUGGACCAGCGGCCGCGUGUCCUAGAGUAAAACGACCCGACCCGCAGCGUCGGUUUUUCUCCGCCUGCAAUCAUGCGAUGCCAAGGCGUUCGCGACGCACGGCGAGGACGCGCACGCCCGGUUGGCCCGGCGGGGGCCGUUCGUCCUUGGAUACAUGAACCUGCCGCCUUCCGUCCUGUCCAGCUAGCCAUUUUGCCGUCCAUCCUGCAAAGAAUCUUCUUCGUCGGCCGGGCGGGUGGUACCGAAGCUGAAAUCGAUGCACCUGCUAGCUGCUGCAUGCAUAGGCAUGUCUCUGGCUACUCUGGUAGUACAUUACAUAGACAGAUUGUUACUGGUCUGUUCACGUGAGUUUUGUCUUUUACGGAGUAAGAUUUAUCCUAAAUUAAAAUAUUUAAACUUUAACCAACAAUAUAUAUAAGACUAAAUUAUUUUAAACUAAAAAAAGUUAUUAUAAAAGUUUAAGUCACGAUGAAUCUAGUAAUUUUUUUACUUUUAUGUUAUAAAAUCUUAUGAAAAAUCUAAAAAUAACUGGUCAAAGUUGACAGUGAUUGAAUUAGGAUAAACUAAAAUUGACAGGUUGUUGUGGACGGAGGGAGUACUAACCAGCGGGCCACUGGUUCUAUCCAAAUACGCCACGGCUAAUAUGUAGAUUAUGCCGUGUUGGAAGCUCAAUCAACCUUCAAAAAUCCUGUACUUUUGCCACGACCGAGCAGAGUAGUUUUGGAACAGUAUAGCUGCUCUGCUGCUCGCCGUCACAUGCAUGCAUGCAUUCCUCCCACCGAGCAGAGUAGUUUGUGCCACGCACACAUUACAUUACAUUACAUGUAUGGGGCACGAAUGUGUAAUAAACUACUAGUCGUCGCAACCUCCCUCGCAGCUGCGACUGCUGAGCUGGAAGUCAAUCAUCCAAGCGGCCAGCAACACUGGACCUGAGCGCCGCCCUGCAGCCCUACUUGCUGCUGCUGCAUCGGCGGUAGGCGUUUUUAUUAUUACUAUUCCGGCCGGACUCGUGUUCAACACCCUCCGCCUAGCUGAGAGGCCCCACCCACGGGCGCAUCGGAAUUGGCCGGUUUCUGUUAUAAAGAAAUCCGUGGCCGCGGAUCCCGAUGUCCCUCGGGCGGCACCGGCAGCUCUAAGGGCAUGUACAGUGGGUGUUUUAAGUUGUGUCUUACAGCGUGUCUAGGGGGGUGAAUGUAAAAAAACUCAAGACACGUAUCUUGACGAAGACACCGUGUCUUAGCUCUAUGUUCGAGACAGGAGACUAGCUGAUUGGUCACUUUAAUUUAUUGAAUGUUCUGAUUGGUACAAUGAAUAUCGUAAGACACAUGUUUUAGACAUGACCACUGUAUUAUGUUGUGUUUUAGUUGUAUCUUUACUUGGAGUACCGUGCAACAGUAUCUGGGUUGUACAUGCCCUAAGGGCAUGUACAGUGGAGAGACACCAAAACGGUUCUCCAAGCACAGGAGACAACUAAGAGACUCUAUUGUACAAUGGAGUGUCUAUAAACGUAGUCUAUUAAUAAAUAUAGAAUUAAAUGUAUUUGUAUAGCAUCAAAUCGAUAGAACAGACGACAAAUUCGUACAGUGGGAAGUGAGGCGUCUGUUGUUACUUGGUUUACGAGCCAGAGGCGUCUCUUCACGGAGAGACGGCUCUAAGAUUAUUUUGCAAAUAACCCCUAAAACACCUUAAGAGCCCCCACAUUAAACACCACUGUACAUGCCCUAAUCAGGCGCGCUGACGCGCCGUGCAGCGCGGAAUAGUAUACUGGCAAGCGGAAGCGGGUGCGGCCCGCCCGGUGCCCCGCACGCGCGAGCGCGGUUCGAUCGGGCGAGGGGGAGCUGUUGCUCGUAGGCGCCGGGCGGUAAUAAACAAGGUGGUCUGCAGUGCACUGCACCGCACUGCACCGGACCGGCCGGCGCGCGCGGCCCCGCUGGCCCUGCCGGCCCUGCCGAAUGUCAACGCGGCUGAUGCAUGCAGUGCAGGCGCUGGCGGUCGUGGGACGGUGGCGCAAGUUGUUAGGCUCCUGCCGGCCUGGGGCAGCAUUUUGGUUACCUGGGGGCGCCUGCCAGUGCCAGUGCGGUUGACAACCCAUAAUUUUGCAAUGUCCAUUCCCCCCCUGAUUCUGCCCUCUGCACCUGUCUGCGGAUCACCGAUCACCGUGGUGUGCUGCGGUGCGGUGUCCAAUAACAACCAGGCCCCAGCUCAUAAGCACACGCUGCCCACGGGGACCGUACAUUGUCUCCCCACCAGGGUCACCAGAGUCGAAUUAUAGCUUCCUAGACUUAGGCCCCGUUUCAAUCUCACGGGAUAAACUUUAGCUUCCUGCUAAACUUUAGCUAUAUGAAAUGAAGCGCUAAAGUUUAGCUUUAAUUAUCACCAUUAGCUCCCCUGUUUAGAUUACAAAUGGCUAAAAGUAGCUAAAAAAAAGCUGCUAAAGUUUAUCUCGCGGGAUUGAAACAGGGCCUUAGGCCAUGGAUUGGUUUCCUGCAGAUCAUCAUAGAAUCUGCAUCUUGCAUGUUCUCCCAUGAAAUGCAUCCCACACUUGAUUCUUGAUUUUUGUCGGCGUUUGGUUUGCUAGGGAUAAUGAGAAUCCGGUUGCAAAAGCUACACGAAAUCCAAUAAAAUACGGUGAAGACUUGAUAACGUGAUAUUCUUCUUUGUUGCACUAAAACCAAGACACUUUGUGUAAUAACCUGAAUUUACAGGUAUAAAAUUUAUUUUCAAAUAUCCAUGAAAUUCAGGUGUUAACCUUUUUUUUUCUUUCUCUUCUAGUUUCCAUUUUUCUUCGUUUUCCAAAAAAAGAGAGGAGUUACUUUGGUCAAAUGUUUGUAAACCUAAAGGGGUUAUGGUUGUUGCAUCAUGCUAGAGUAUAAGCUUUUGUCUGAUGCAGUGUGUUGGUGUGCAUUCAUUCAAACUUGUAAAACACAUUUGAAUUUGAAUCCAUGAACUAAAAACAAAAUAGAAAAGAGACCUAAAUUCAAAAUAAAAAAAGAAAAGGAAAAGCAGCCCACUCCAUUUCCAUAACCGGCCUUUCGGCCCAUCUUUCUACAACACGCUCAUACCCUCCCUCUCUCUAUGACCAGUCGGUCCCGCCUACCGAAGCCUGCACCCCCUGCGCCUUACCCCUCAACCCUCUCACUACUCGUGGGCCUCGCCUAUCGGUGCCCCCCCGUUACUCGCACGCCUGCGCUGGCUCGUUCACUAGCCGGUCCCGCCUAUCAGCUCCACCCCAUUCCUCGCGUAACCGCCUCCGUUCAGCCCACACCCACAUUCUCUCUCCCCCCUCCACCAAACCACUCGCGCCUGCCCCCUUUGAAACCCUCAUCGCCCCCACUUGUCGGUGUUUUAUGUCCGACCGCGCACCCGGGGUUACCCUCGUGUUGCUUUUGGGUAGGACGGUGUCGUGGAUCGUAACUCGAUGGUUCGCGCUCGGGCACGAGAGAGAGAGAGAGAGAGAGAGAGAGAGAGGCGGAUUUCAGCAGGUUCGAGUCGCUUUGAGGAGCGUAAUACCCUCCUUCUUGGGAUCGCUUUGUAUAUGGGUGAUAUUACAGGUGGUGUCUACCGAGCUGUGGGAUGCUAAUGAGAUUAAAAUGGAGGGAGUCCCCCUUGGACUUAUAUACACGACCGUGGGGGGUUUACCACACAAAUGUUCAUCACAAUCUUCCUACUUAUCUCCUAAUUAGUAGCAAACAACUUCCACUAUUUGAAGAAGAAUCCGACGCCUCCAUGUCGAGCUAUCUCCAGCGUUUUAGGAUGUCGGGCACGAGAACCAACAUGUCCGACAUAUUCACGCCUAUCCUUGGGUCCCAUAUGUCAGUCGCUCGCGCACGCGCGCGAGCUCCCUCGCCAAAUCUAAUCUCCGUCGUCCGUCGUUAGAUCAGACUGGCCAAAGAUCCCUGACAUUCCUUCACAUUGGCAAAAUUGGAGCCUAUCAGCUUUCUAGGAAUCAACCCGUUGUCCCUGGUUUUUCACUGAAACCCCUGAAGUCUUAUGGAUGUUGCUCUUGCCUACAUGUUAGCAGCAUGUUUGACCCCUGUUUUAAUAUGUCAUUUAAACAAUAAUUUAUAAUUUGGUUUAAAGUAAAUAGACCUUUGUUCAGUAUAAUUGAUAAGUAGAAAAUUCGAGAGAAUGUCUUAAUCUUGAAACACAACAAACCUAGUGAUUGAUGACCUUAACAAGGUAACUUUAUUUGAAUAGUGUUAUUGAGAUAUAUAUUUGGCUAAUGACUAACAAAGUGGAGGAUAAUCUUGUGCAUUAAACCCAUCCAAAACAAGCAUUUCUUGCCGAAAUUAGCUUAAUUUGUGAUGGCAUUAGAGUUAUUUUUGGUGGCACUGGAAGUUUUUAACUAAAAGUAAAGAUUUUUUUGCGACUGUCAUAAAAAAAUAGUGAUGUUUGGUGACUUUAGGGCGGCCACUGGAAAUAAUCCUAACAACAUUUAUUUGGGUGGUUGGAUCUGACCACCAAAAAUAGAAGAACUAAUUUUGGCGGCCAAGCACAUUUGCCAAAAAUUACUCUUUCCGGAAUCUAGAAAUUUCCUACAAAUUCAUAUACAAAUCACAUACAUAUCUCAUAACAUAUAAAUCAUGUAUACAUAUUUCAUCACAUACAUAUUCACAUUUCACAUUCAACAUUUAACAUUCACAUUCAAUAUUUCAUCAACAACAUACCACCAUAGUCAAUAUACUCACAUUUCUUUCAUUCGUCAAUAAUAUUCAUAUUUCAUCCGUUAAACAACAUAGUAGCAUUACAUUAAUCAACAUUCUAGUAUUAUGUCAUUAAGUCAUCGACAAAGCAAGUAAACAUGUCUCAUCCAAAGAAAACUAAGUUUAUGGCCACCGAGGAUCGUUGAAGUUGUGCUCACUACCGUCUGAAGCAAAUAUGUUGUUAACAAACUCAGUAGUUCGAUCGUUCUAUAAUAAUGAACGAAGUCCACAAUUAGAAAAUAGAAUUUAUAGCUUUAUAUGUAACCCAAAUACCACUAAUGGAGGUGCAUGAAUGCAUUUGCCAUAUUAACUCAAGAUCCAUAGAAUAUACAAGUUGAAAUAGAUUAAAUAGGUACGAUUGAGUAUGUUCAACUUGAAUAGAACAAACAUAGUUUCACUAACUAAAUUUAUAAAACUGUAGAUAUAAUUUACUAAGUUCACCUAGAUUUACUAAAUAUGUCUAGAAUCUAGUACGUUAAACUUUAUUGAAUAUUGAGAAAGUACAUCGAACCUGAGCUCCACAAGAUCCCAAAGGAUGAAUUUGAGGAAACAUCGAUGGUGGCGUUAGCAGCAGCGGUGGUGGUUGUCACUAUGGCAAGACAUUUGUUUGAACAUUUUGUUGCUAUAACAUUAACUACAAAUUCAACAUGUUAGUAUUGCUAAAUGAUCGAAAUGUUAAUUAUUUAUAAAAAAUCAUAAUUACAAUAAUUCAAUUUAGUUUAUUGACAAGUGAAAUGAGCCAAAACGUCCAAAUCAAGCAGACAGAGGGAGUAGACAGUAGGGUCUUAUAGUAUACUUGGAAUUUUAAGUAAUCUACAAUUCUAUGAGUUGUGACUUUCUGUUGUUGUGGCCUAUUAUGGUUGGUUAAUAUCCUACAUGAUUUCCUAUAUGAUCUUAUAAUAUAUAUUUUGCCACCUAUAUCAUACAAAGACCAACAUUCUGAAGGAGCACGAUAAUCACACUAAUGUACAUAGUACGAGAGCAAAUGAUUUUUCUUUCAUAGCAAUGUGUACAACAUCUUCUUCCCCCUCCCCCCUCCACCUCCCUCUCCACCAUACCGAACAUCUCAUCCUCCAUGGCCACAAGUUUUGCUCCAUCCCAAUUAAUCAUGCCAUCACUAUCUGGCAUUGUUAUCCUAAACGGAUGUUUAGAGUGUUUAAAUGUCGUUUAAAUGCUACCCAGUAGCUAACGUUUAGGCCGUUUAUACUGUUUAAUCCUAUAUAAUCUGUUUUAAGUCCGUUUAAACGCCUAUGUAGUCCGAUUAAACGCUAAACAGAGGAUAAUCGAUUGUUUAUCGUUUAGGAUAGCACUGCUAUCUGGCACUGAAAGUCGCCUAGAGGGGGGUGAAUAGGGCGAAUCUGAAAUUUAUAAACUUAAGCACAACUACAAGCCGGGUUAGCGUUAGAAAUAUAAACGAGCCCGAGAGAGAGGACGCAAAACAAAUCGUGAGCGAAUAAAGAGCGAGACACGAUGAUUUGUUUUUACCGAGGUUCGGUUCUUGCAAACCUACUCCCCGUUGAGGUGGUCACAAAGACCGGGUCUCUUUCAACCCUUUCCCUCUCUCAAACGGUCACUUAGACCGAGUGAGCUUCUCUUCUCAAUUAAACGGAACACGAAGUUCCCGCAAGGACCACCACACAAUUGGUGUCUCUUGUCUUGGUUACAAUUGAGUUUGAUCACAAGAAAGAAUGAGAAAGAAAAGAAGCGAUCCAAACGCAAGAGCUCAAAUGAACACAAAUGUUACUCUCUCUAGUCACUAUUUGAUUUGGAGUGAUUCCGGACUUGGGAGAGGAUUUGAUCUCUUUGGAGUGUCUAGAAUUGAAUGCUAUAGCUCUUGUAAUGUGUUGAAGGUGGAAAACUUGGAUGCCAUUGAAUGUGGGGUGGUUGGGGUAUUUAUAGCCCCAACCACCAAAAAUGGUCGUUGGAAGGCUGCUGUCGCAUGGCGUACCGGACAGUCCGGUGCGCCAGCCACGUCAGCAGACCGUUGGGGUUCGACCGUUGGAGCUCUGACAGGUGGAGUCUCUGGGCUGUCCGGUGGUGCACCGGACAGGUCCUGUAGGCUGUCCGGUGCGCCAACUACGCGUCCUCUGUUCUCUACGCGCGCAGGUGUGCAUUAAAUGUGUUGCAGUCGACCGUUGCGUGCGAAGUAGCCGUUGCUCCGCUGGCACACCGGACAGUCCUGGUGCACCGGACAGUCCGGUGCGCCAGACCAGGGUGGCAAGUUCAGCGAUGUCUUUUGCUCUCUUUGUUUGAACCCUUUCUUGGUCUUUUUAUUGGCUUAUUGUGAACCUUUGGCACCUAUAGAACUUAUAGACUAGAGCAAACUAGUUAGUCCAAUUAUUUGUUGUAACACCUAGUUUGUAAUAUAUAAUAAAAGAGGAGAAAAGUCAUUUCCUAUAUUUUAUGUGUGUGUUGAAUCUACUUAUCAUCACAUGUGAACACCAUAUUCAAACAACAACUAAAUAAUAAAAAAGAUAUACCAUUAAAUCAUGCAUCAUGCUGGAAUUUUUAUUGUGAGUACAUUAUUUGUGAUAAUAUAAAAAAAUAAUAAUAACAUUAAAAAAAGUAUGUUAAAGUCCAAAGUGGGAUUUAAUCCUAAAGGAAAAUUCAAGAAGUAGAAAAAAAGAGAAGAGAAACUACUAAGCAAUACAAAAAAUAAAUUUAUAAAUAGAUAAAUUUAUUCCACAAUAAUUUAUUCAAUUCAUAUACUCAGAAAUUUGAGUACAAGUUUAUCACAAAUUUGAAAUUCAAAUUUAGAUUAAAAAAUAAUAAAAAGGAAAGGAAAUCAGAAAUGGUGAAAAGAAAGGAGAAAAGAGAAGUCGUGUUGGGCCUAAAGCAACCAGCGCUCGGCCCACAACCAACAUUUACCCUCCGCGUGACGCAUUAGGCUGGGAUCUGCGCCGACAUGUGGACCUGGGGGAUUAGCCUCCCGUACAUCGCUCAGCUCACUGCCAGGGCGGGCCCCACACAUCAGCCACCCACCCUCAUCAUCCGUUGCGCAGCACGCUGUGCGCUCGGUCACUUCCGCGCGGGACCACGUGGUCAGCACCUUCUUCUCCCCUGCCGCAUCGCGCGGAGGAGUAUCGCCGUGCGCGUGGAUUCCGGUGGCUCGUGCGGACCAGCCUUGACGAACCGGCCCUGCGGGUGCGCGUGGUGAUACCAUUGGCAUGCGGGCCCCACCUUGAUCACGUCCCCCCCUCUCCACCGAGCUGUACCGGCUGCAUCCGAAAUCGCCGCCGAGACCGGGGGAAACCUCCCCACCAAUUCGGGUCCGAGCAAUGCGCUCCACGCCGCCUCGCGUGUUGAUAAAAGCUUGCGCCUCGUCAUCCGCCUAUUUCGUUAGCCGUGACUUAGUCUCCGACCUCGUAAUCGUGUGGCGCCGUUGCAAACCCGCCGUGACGCCCAGCCUGCGGGGACCUUGCGCCGCUGAGACAUCUGCUCAUCGUCGGCCACAUUUGGGUCCGAGUAGGGUACCCGGAGAUUCGCCCAGCCUUGCUGUGGGUGCGUGAACCGUGGGCGAGCUGAGAGACCGGUCGUAGUGUGCCCAUACCUCUUCGCCAUGCUAUUUUUCUAAAGAGACCCUGCGCUUUACAUAUAUCAACAUGCAGUCCUGCGCCUGAAGUUUGGAGUCUUAAGGUCUUUUGCGUAGUAACCCCUGACCUUUCUGAAAAUUGAUGCCCAGUUCAAAGAUGAUUAAAAACAGAGAAAUAAUUAUAGGAAUCCGUUUUUAAUAAAAAAACAAAUCUAGAAACUUGUAAAAUGCAUAAAAAAUUCAUUUUUAAUCCAAAUCAAUUCAUUUCAAUUUAUAAAAUUUGGUAAUAUUAAUGUUUAUCAUCUAGAAUCUCUGUUUUGACAUAAAAACAGAAAGAAAAUUUAUUUCUCAUGUAAUUCCAUUUCAAGCACAUUAAACCUUUGGAAAUUCAUAUCUUAAAAUAUAUAACCCCAAAAAUUAUGAUUCCUAUUUCUAGGAUUUUAUUUUAAUGUGUAGAUUAUUAUCAUGUGUUUUGUUUACAUGUUUGGUGUGAUGUUAAUUUCCUCUAUAUAUUGUGCAUGUUUGUAUUGUGGCGAGCAGAGGAGCCUGUGACUGAGGAACCUGGUGAGCAGCAGAUAGAAGUAGCUGAGCAGGAGCUCAUUGAAGGCAAGUUGUGCCCUUGACCACUUUUGUUACCCAAUAAUGUUCUUUAUAAUCAUCUACCAUGCAUAGGUUUAAUUUUGAUGGGACCCAAUAGGUCACCCUAGAUUGUUAUUCCAUUUUACUUUGUUAUCCCUGAAUCACUUGGGUAGUUUUGCUAUUGCUUUACAUGGUUUUGGGAUAAUAUUUUAUUAUAUCCAUGUUCCAGCUAUUGUGUUAUUCUAUUUAUGUUCAUGUCAAGAUCAUUAAAUGUUAAUUGGAACAUGGAGCUUAACUUGAGAAACACGUGCCACCACAAGGGUUUAAUGGGACGCCCUUGGCCAACUAACUAGGAAAGCUAGUGGAAGACUACCUUACCCGAAAGGGGCAAGGGUAGUAGGGGAUUGCAUGCAAGGAGGCUCUCGGGUUGAUUUUGCUGCGAUGGCGGUCAGACGGGGGAUUCUUGCAAGUGCUCUUCCCAUAAACUAUAGCGGGUUUUCGGAAGCUAGUGGAACUUUGUAAAGGCCUCGUAGUGGAUCCCUAGCCAUUCACCUCGGUAGUGCCUAAGGGCCUAGCUAACCCUGGCGACACGGGAUACACGACUUGUGGGUACAGGGUACAACCUCUGCAGAGUGUAAAACUGGUAUUCUAGCCGAGCUCACGGUCAUGAGCAGCUCAGGACUCUCUGAUGAUUAAAUUAUGGAACUUAAAUUCAAUUUUGUCAUUUGCAUUGCAUGGGUUUAUUAUUAAUUUUGUUCAAUUACUUUAUUUAAGGUUUGAUAUUUACUUACAUCUAGUAACUGCUAAUAAAAUUUUGACCAACUACUUAAAAGCAACGCUCAGCUUUAACCCCUGUCAUUGAUUAGCCUUACACAUCACAUGAACUCCCACCUUUGUGAGUUCAUGUCCACUGGUUCCCCACAACUUGUUGAGCUAUGAUCAUGUGUGAGCUCACCCUUGCUGUCUCACACCCCCCCACAGAAGAAGAACAGGUGGUUCAGGAGGAGCCACAAGGCGAGGAGUUUGAUUUGAUCUAGGUGGUGUUUCUCAGUUGACAUUGGCGCCAACGACGAUCCUUAGUUCGUUUUAUAUUUAUCUUUUAUUUUGUAAUAAGACUUCCGCUAUGUAAUAAUACUCUGAUUAUUGUGACAUUUAUCUCUAUACACUCUGUUAUUGUAUAUGUUGUCUUCUUUGGCGCAUGUAUGAGAUGCACCCGGCUUUGUUCCUUAAAGCCCGGGGUGUGACAGAAGUGGUAUCAGAGGAAAUGUUGACUGUAGGACGAAACCUAGAUAGAAAUGGACAAACCCUUACCUACUUACCUUACUCUGAUUCUUUCUAUACAUAUCUUGAUCCUGUCUCACCUUUUGUUGUUCUACUCUGAUCAUUCUUACAUUUUCUACUCUGAGACAAGAUGGAUUUCAUACCUUGGAAUCCUACAUUUAUGAACUUUUUAAGAGAUAGGAGACCUAAGACAAAAAUUAAAACUAUUUUAUCGAUUAAAAAAAUAUUGGUUGAUUGUUCUGAUGAUAAAUGUCUGAUUUGCUUCUUUGAUUGAUUGAAAUAUCAUAGAUAGACAUCUUAGCAUGUACCACCAUAAGGUAAUGUAUUAGCUUUAGUAGGUGACACACUAAUCUACUUAGCUAAUAAAUCCCCCAAAGUAACAUGAUUAGUAAUUACUCGCCUUGUCUACAAUUCUUCCUUUCUUACCUUGUGUUUCUAACCUAGAUGGGCUACCCCUAUAGUGUUAGAAGAGAGCACUAUAGACGUGAUCCUUGGUAUGUCAUGGUUAAGAAAGGCAAAGGUAGUUUAUACACUAUGCUAAAAGAACCAUUGAACUCACCAGUUCCAAAGGAGAAAGAUUUGAAGUUGGAAUUGCAGUAACUACCGCCACCAGACUAGCAGCAUUCUUAGAAAAUGGGAAGUUUGUUGGUGUCAACAUCCAUGUGGUUAGAGAUUUUCCGGAUGUCUUCCUAGAAGAGUUACCAGUGAUGCCACCAUAUAGGGAAGUUGAGUUUAUCAUUGGUCCCUUACCUGGGGCUGCCCCUACUUUCAAACGGCCAUACAGGAUGUCUGUAGAAGAGUUAAAAGAACUGAAGAAGCAGUUAAUGAAAUUACAAGAGGCUGGGUACAUUCGUUCGAAUUCCUCACCUUGAGGGAGCGCCAGUUCUAUUUAUACAGAAGAAAUAUGGAUCACAAGGGAUGAGUGUGGAUUAUAGAUCUCUUAAUGAUGUUACUGUAAAGAACAAGUAUUCGUUACCCCGUAUUGAGGAUUUGUUUGAUCAGAUGAGAGGUGCAAGGGUAUUCUCGAAGAUUGAUCUCCGAUUGGGUUAUCACCAAAUGAAGAUUAGGCCAUCGGAUAUUCCCAAGACAACUUUCUCGACCCGAUAUGGGUUAUAUGAGUUCACCGUUAUGUCGUUUGGAUUAACUAAUGUACCAGCUUAUUUUAUGGAUUUGAAGAAUAAGGUGUUCAUGAGUUGGACAUAUUCGUCGUGGUUUUCAUCGACGAUAUUUUUAUUUAUUCCAAGAGUGAUAGUGAUUAUGAGGAAACAUCUGAGAUUGGUGCUACAGAAGCUACGAGAUAAUCAACUCUACACCAAGUACAGUAAAUGCGAGUUCUAGAUUGACGAGGUGUCAUUCCUUGAACAUAUCAUUUCUAAUGGAGGUAUAUUAGUGGAUCCUGCUAAAGUCAAGGAGAUAGUGGCGUGGAGCAUACCCACUACAGUUAUGGAGAUUCAGAGUUUUCUUGGGACUUGCAGAAUAUUAUCGGAGAUUUAUUGAAGGAUUUUCUAAGGUUGCUAAGCCCAUGACCUCGCUUCUGGAGAAGGGAAGAGAGUUCAAGUGGGACGAGAAGUGCCAAGAUAGCUUUGAUCAAUUAAAGAAGAGAUUAAUGUCGCCACCAGUGUUGGUUAUGCCUGAUCUGCAGAAGGGAUUUGAUAUUUAUUGUGAUGCAUGUGGCCAAGGCUUGGGAUGUGUACUUAUGCGAGAAGGACACGUGAUUGCCUACGCGUCUCGUUAGUUGCGAAAACAAGAGUUGAACUACCCCACUCAUGACUUAGAACUGGCAGUUGUUGUGCAUACGCUUAAGAUUUGGAGACAUUAUAUCAUGGGGACUAAGUGUCAAGUGUAUACGGAUCAUAAGAGUUUGAAGUAUAUAUUCACUCAGAAGGAUCUCAAUCUUAGGCAACGCCGUUGGUUGGAGCUUAUUAAGGAUUAUGAUUUGGAGAUUCACUAUCACCCGGGCAAGGCAAAUUUGGUUGCAGAUGCCUUGAGUCGAAAGGAGCAUGUUCAUUCAGCUGUUGUUGCCCAGCUACCCGAUGAGAUUGUUGAGGAUUUCAGGAGACUUAACCUGGGGAUAGUUGCUCACAAUGAAGGAGUUACUAUUGAUGUGGAACCUACCUUGGAACAAAAGAUCCACAAAGGACAAAUUGGUGAUGCUAAGAUACAAGAGAUCAAGGAUCUUAUUACUGAAGGUCGAGGUCCGGAAUUCACGGAAGAUGAGCAAGGCACCAUAUGGUUUAAGGACAUGAUAUGUGUUCCUGAUAUUGAAAGCCUUCGUGAGACUAUUUUAAAGGAGGCCCAUGACUCGGAUUAUUCUAUUCAUCUUGGUAGUACCAAGAUGUAUCAGGAUUUGAAGCAAAAAAAUACUGGUGGUAUGGAUUGAAGAGAGAUGUAGUGCACAUGUGGCUAUGUGCGAUGUGUGUCAAAGAGUUAAGGCUGAACACCAGAGGCCAACUGGACUACUGCAUCCAAUAAAGAUACCCGAGUGGGAGUGGGAAGAGAUUGAUAUGGACUUCAUUACUGGAUUGCCUCGCAUCUCGAAAGGAUAUGAUUCUAUAUGGGUUAUUGUGGAUGGACUGACCAAAGUUGCUCAUUUCAUUCCGGUCAAGACUACUUAUAAGGGAUCUCAAUUGGCAGAGUAUAUGUGGCUCGGAUUGUGUCUCUACACGGUGUACCGAAGAAGAUCGUUUUGGAUAGAGGAUCACAGUUUACCUCCAGAUUUUGGAAAAGUUUUCAUGAGAAUAUGGAUUCGAAGUUGAAUUUUGGUUCGGCCUACCAUUCUCAGACUGAUGGAUAGACUAAAAGGACUAAUCAAGUAUUAGAGGACAUGUUGAGAGCUUGUGCCCUUCAACAUGGUAGUAGUUGGGACAAGAGUCUACCUUAUGUUGAGUUCUCAUAUAAUAAUAGUUACCAGGCCAGUCUAAAAGAUGUCACCGUUUGAGGCUCUAUAUGGCAGAAAGUGCAUGACUCCUCUAUAUUGGGAUCAGACUGGAGAAAGACAGUUCUUUGGGCCCGAACUGAUUCAAGAAGCAGAGGGACAAGUCCGUAUAAUUCGAGAGAAUUUGAGGGUGGCUCAAACCAGGCAAAAGAGCUAUGCUGAUAAUAUAAGGAGACCACUGGAGUUUGAGGAAGAUGAUCAUGUGUACCUCAAGGUGUCAUCACUUCGUGGAAUGAGGAGAUUCAAGGUUAAGGGCAAAUUGUCCCCUCGCUAUAUUGGACCAUUCAGAUUUUUUAGGGCAAGUUGGAGAGAUGUCCUAUCAACUCGAGCUACAUGAUAAUGUAUCUGAUGUGCGUAAUGUAUUCCAUGUGUCUCAACUUAAGAAGUGUCUCCGUGUCCCGAGGAACAGUUACCAAUGGAAGAGCUCAGUGUUCAGGGUGGUUUGAUUUACACGGAGUACCCUAUCAAGAUUCUUAACACUUUGGCUCGAGUUACAAGAAAUAAGGUGAUAAAUAUGUGCAAAGCGCAAUGGAGUCACCAUGGAGAAGAUGAAGCGACAUGGGAAAGAGAAGAGCUUCGCAUAGAUUUUCCUCAUCUUUUCCCUAGUGCUUCCUAAAUCUCGAGGACGAGAUUAUUUUAAGGGGGGUAGGAUUUGUAACACCUAGUUUGUAAUAUAUAAUAAAAGAGGAGAAAAGGCAUUUCCUAUAUUUUAUGUGUGUGUUGAAUCUACUUAUCAUCACAUGUGAACACCAUAUUCAAACAACAACUAUAUAAUAAAAAGAUAUACCAUUAAAUCAUGCAUCAUGCUGGAAUUUUUAUUGUGAGUGCAUUAUUUGUGAUAAUAUAAAAAAAUAAUAAUAACAUAAAAAAAGUAUGUUAAAGUCCAAAGUGGGAUUUAAUCCUAAAGGAAAAUUCAAGAAGUAGAAAAAAGAGAAGAAGAGAAACUACUAAGCAAUACAAAAAUAAAUUUAUAAAUAGAUAAAUUUAUUCCACAAUAAUUUAUUCAAUUCAUAUACUCAGAAAUUUGAGUACAAGUUCAUCACAAAUUUGAAAUUCAAAUUUAGAUUCAAAAAUAAUAAAAAGGAAAGGAAAUCAGAAAUGGUGAAAAGAAAGGAAAAAAGAGAAGUCGUGUUGGGCCUAAAGCAACCAGCGCUCGGCCCACAACCAACAUUUACCCUCCGCGUGACCCAUUAGGCUGGGAUCUGCGCCGACAUGUGGACCCAGGGGAUCAGCCUCCCGUACAUCGCUCAGCUCACUGCCAGGGCGGGCCCCACACAUCAGCCACCCACCCUCAUCGUCCGUUGCGCAGCACGCUGUGCGCUCGGUCACUUCUGCGCGAGACCACGUGGUCAGCACCUUCUUCUUCCCUGCCGCAUCGCGCGGAGGAGUAUCGCCGUGCGCGUGGAUUCCGGCGGCUCGUGCGGACCAGCCUUGACGAACCUGCUGCGGGUGCGCGUGGUUAUACCAUUGGCAUGCGAGCCCCACCUUGACCACAUCCCCCCCUCUCCACCGAGCUGUACCGGCUGCAUCCGAAAUCGCCACCGAGACUGGGGGAAACCUCCCCACCAAUUCGGGUCCGAGCAAUGAGCUCCACGCCGCCUCGCGUGUUGAUAAAAGCUUGCGCCUUGUCAUCCGCCUAUUUCGUUAGCCGCGACUUAGUCUCCGACCUCGUAAUCGUGUGGCGUCGUUGCAAACCCGCUGUGACGCCCAGCCUGCGGGGACCUUGCGCCGCUGAGACAUCUGCUCAUCGUCGGCCACAUUUGGGUCCGAGUAGGGUACUCGGAGAUUCGCCCAGCCUUGCUGUGGGUGCGUGAACCGUGGGCGAGCUGAGAGACCGGUCGUAGUGUGCCCAUACCUCUUAGCCAUGCUAUUUUUCUAAAGAGACCCUGCGCUAUACAUAUAUCAACCCGCAGUCCUGCGCCUGAAGUUUGGAGUCUUAAGGUCUUUUGCGUAGUAACUCCUGACCUUUCUGAAAAUUGAUGCCCAUUUCAGAGAUGAUUAAAAACAGAGAAAUAAUUAUAGGAAUCCGUUUUUAAUAAAAAACAAAUCUAGAAACUUGUAAAAUGCAUAGAAAAUUUAUUUUUAAUCCAAAUCGAUCCAUUUCAAUUUAUAAAAUUUGGUAAUAUUAAUGUCUAUCAUCUAGAAUCUCUGUUUUGACAUGAAAACAGAAAGAAAACUUAUUUCUCAUGUAAUUCCAUUUCAAGCACAUUAAACCUUUGGAAAUUCAUAUCUGAAAAUAUAUAACUCCAAAAAUUAUGAUUCCUAUUUCUAGGAUUUUAUUUUAAUGUGUAGAUUAUUAUCAUGUGUUUUGUUUACAUGUUUGGUGUGAUGUUAAUUUCCUCUAUAUAUUGUGCCUGUUUGUAUUGUGGCGAGUAGAGGAGCCUGUGACUGAGGAACCUGGUGAGCAGCAAAUAGAAGUAGCUGAGCAGGAGCUCAUUGAAGGCAAGUUGUGCCCUUGACCACUUUUGUUACCCAAUAAUGUUCUUUAUAAUCAUCUACCAUGCAUAGGUUUAAUUUUGAUGGGACCCAAUAGGUCACCCUAGAUUGUUAUUCCAUUUUACCUUGUUAUCCCUGAAUCACUUGGGUAGUUUUGCUAUUGCUUUACAUGGUUUUGGGAUAAUAUUUUAUUAUAUCCAUGUUCCAGUUAUUGUGUUAUUCUAUUUAUGUUCAUGUCAAGAUCAUUAAAUGUUAAUUGGAACAUGAAGCUUAACUUGAGAAACACGUGCCACCACAAGGGUUUAAUGGGAUGCCCUUGGCCAACUAACUAGGAAAGCUAGUGGAAGACUACCUUAUCCGAAAGGGGCAAGGGUAGUAGGGGAUUGCAUGCAAGGAGGUUCUCGGAUUGAUUUUGCUGCGAUGGCGGUCAGACGGGGGAUUCUUGCAAGUGCUCUUCCCAUAAACUGUAGCGGGUUUUCGGAAGCUAGUGGAACUUUGUAAAGGCCUCGUAGUGGAUCCCUAGCCAUUCACCUCGGUAGUGUAUAAGGGCCUAGCUAACCCUGGCGACAUGGGAUACACGACUUGUGGGUACAGGGUACAACCUCUGCAGAGUGUAAAACUGGUAUUCUAGCCGAGCUCACGGUCAUGAGCAGCUUAGGACUCUCUGAUGAUUAAUUAUGGAACUUAAAUUCAAUUUUGUCAUUUGCAUUGCAUGAGUUUAUUAUUAAUUUUGUUCAAUUACUUUAUUUAAGGUUUGAUAUUUACUUACAUCUAGUAACUGCUAAUAAAAUUUUGACCAACUACUUAAAAGCAACGCUCAGCUUUAACCCCUGUCAUUGAUUAGCCUUACACAUCACAUGAACUCCCACCUUUGUGAGUUCAUGUCCACUGGUUCCCCACAACUUGUGUAGCUAUGAUCAUGCGUGAGCUCACCCUUGCUAUCUCACACCCCCCACAGGAGAAGAACAGGUGGUUCGGGAGGAGCCACAAGGCGAGGAGUUUGAUUUGAUCUAGGUGGUGUUUCUCAGUUGACAUUGGCGCCAACGACGAUCCUUAGUUCGUUUUAUAUUUAUCUUUUAUUUUGUAAUAAGACUUCCGCUAUGUAAUAAUACUCUGAUUAUUGUGACAUUUAUCUCUAUACACUCUGUUAUUGUAUAUGUUGUCUUCUUUGGCGCAUGUAUGAGAUGCACCCGACUAAUUGUUCCUUAGUGUUAAUAUAUGCAAUCUCGAUAUCUCCCUUUUGUUGGUGAUCCCUUAAGAAAUGAUACCGAAUGGCUAUGUGUUUAGUGCGACUAUGCUCAACGGGAUUAUCCACCAUGCGGAUUGCACUCUCAUUAUCACAUAGAAGAGGAACUUUGGUUAAUUUGUAACCAUAGUCCCUAAGGGUUUGCCUCAUCCAAAGCAAUUGCGCGCAACAAUGGCCUGCGGCAAUAUACUCGGCUUCGGCAGUAGAAAGAGCUACAGAAUUUCGCUUUUUGAAGCCCAUGACACCAGAGACCUUCCCAAGAACUGGCAAGUCCCUGAUGUGCUCUUUCUAUUAAUUUUACACCCCGCCCAAUCGGCAUCCGAAUAACCAAUCAAAUCAAAUGUGGACCCCCGAGGGUACCAAAGCUCAAACUUAGGAAUAUGAACUAGAUAUCUCAAGAUUCGUUUUACGGCCGUAAGGUGAGCUUCCUUAGGGUCGGCUUGGAAUCUUGCACACAUGCAUACGGAAAGCAUAAUAUCCGGUCGAGAUGCACAUAGAUAGAGUAAAGAGCCUAUCAUCGACCGAUAUACCUUUUGAUCUACGGAUUUACCUCCCGUGUCGAGGUCAAGAUGCCCAUUGGUUCCCAUGGGUGUCUUGAUGGGCUUGGCAUCCUUCAUACCAAACUUGUUUAGAAUGUCUUGAAUAUACUUCGUUUGGCUAAUGAAGGUGCCUUCUUGGAGUUGCUUCACUUGAAAUCCCAAGAAGUACUUCAACUCCCCCAUCAUAGACAUCUCGAAUUUCUGUGUCAUGAUCCUACUAAAUUCCUCUCAUGUAGAUUCGUUAGUAGACCCAAAUAUAAUAUCAUCAACAUAAAUUUGGCAUACGAACAAAUCAUUGUCAAGAGGUUUAGUAAAUAAAGUAGGAUCGGCCUUUCCGACUUUGAAACCAUUAGUGAUAAGGAAAUCUCUUAGGCAUUCAAACCAUGCUCUUGGGGCUUGCUUGAGCCCAUAAAGCGCCUUAGAGAGUUUGUAAACAUGGUUAGGAUACUCACUAUCUUCAAAGCCGGGAGGUUGCUCAACAUAGACCUCCUCCUUGAUUGGUCCAUUGAGGAAGCCACUUUUCACGUCCAUUUGGUAAAGCUUAAAGCCAUGGUAAGUAGCAUAGGCAAGUAAAAUGCGAAUUGAUUCUAGCCUAGCUACGGGUGCAUAGGUUUCACCAAAGUCCAAACCUUCGACUUGUGAAUAUCCCUUGGCCACAAGUCGGGCUUUGUUCCUUGUCACCACACCAUGCUCAUCUUGCUUGUUGCGGAAGACCCACUUGGUUCCUACAACAUUUUGGUUAGGACGUGGAACUAAAUGCCAUACCUCAUUCCUAGUGAAAUUGUUGAGCUCCUCUUGCAUCGCCACCACCCAAUCCAAAUCUUGAAGUGCUUCCUCUACCCUAUGUGGCUCAAUAGAGGAAACAAAAGAGUAAUGUUCACAAAAAUGAGCAACACGAGAUCGAGUAGUUACCCCCUUUUGAACAUCGCCGAGGAUGGUGUUCACGGGGUGAUCUCGUUGAAUUGCUUGGUGGACUCUUGGGUGUGGCGGUCUUGGAACUUGUUCAUCUUCCUCAUCUUGAUCAUGGACAUCUCCCCCUUGAUCAUUGCUCUCCUUUGAGGUGGCUCAACUUCUUGAUUUUCUCCUUCAUCAUUUUGAGCAUCAUCCUCAUCUUGGGUUGGUGGAGAUGUUUGCAUGGAGGAAGAUGGUUGAUCUUGUGCAUUUGGAGGCUCUUCGGAUUCCUUAGGAUACACAUCCCCAAUGGACAUGUUCCUUAGCGCGACACACGGAGCCUCUUCAUCACCUAUCUCAUCAAGAUCAACUUGCUCUACUUGAGAGCCGUUAGUCUCAUCAAACACAAUGUCACAAGAAACUUCAACUUGUCCAGAGGACUUGUUAAAGACUCUAUAUGCCCUUGUGUUUGAAUCAUAUCCUAAUAAAAAGCCUUCUACAGCCUUAGGAGCAAAUUUGGAUUUUCUACCUCUUUUAACAAGAAUAAAGCAUUUGCUACCAAAGACUCUAAAAUAUGAAACAUUGGACUUUUUAUCGGUUAGGAGUUCGUAUGAUGUUUUCUUGAGGAUUCGGUGUAGAUACAACCGGUUGAUGGCAUAGCAGGCGGUGUUGACCGCCUCCGCCCAAAACCGAUCCGAAGUCUUGUACUCAUCAAGCAUGGUUCUUGCCAUGUCCAAUAGAGUUCUAUUCUUCCUCUCCACUACACCAUUUUGCUGUGGGGUGUAGGGAGAAGAGAACUCAUGCUUGAUGCCCUCCUCCUCAAGGAAGCCUUCGAUUUUAGAGUUCUUGAACUCCGUCCCGUUGUCGCUUCUUAUUUUCUUGAUCCUUAAGCCGAACUCGUUUUGAGCCCGUCUCAAGAAUCCCUUUAAGGUCUCUUGGGUAUGAGAUUUUUCCUGCAAAAAGAACACCCAAGUGAAGCGAGAAUAAUCAUCCACAAUAACUAGACAGUACUUACUCCCGCCGAUGCUUAUGUAAGAUAUCGGGCCGAAUAGGUCCAUGUGUAGGAGCUCGAGUGGCCUGUCAGUCGUCAUGAUGUUCUUGUGUGGAUGAUGAACACCAACUUGCUUCCCUGCCUGACAUGCGCUACAAAUCAUGUCUAACACUCCCUUAAAUGCUACUGAAUCAUCACUUCUUCUGAAGACAGUAACACCUACAUCUGUAAAAAGACAGUUGUAGCCCAUUUUACAUAAUUGCGAAACUGAAAGCAAGUUGUAAUCUAAGGAAUCUACAAGAAAAACAUUGGAAAUGGAGUGGUCAGGAGAUAUAGCAAUUUUACCCAAUCCUUUGACCAAACCUUGGUUUCCAUCCCUGAAUGUGAUCGCUCUUUGGGGAUCUUAGUUUUUCUCAUAGGAGGAGAACAUUUUCUUCUCCCCUGUCAUAUGGUUUGUGCACCCGCUAUCGAUGAUCCAACUUGAGCCCCCGGAUGCAUAAACCUAGAAAACAAUUUUAGUUCUUGAUUUUAGGUACCCAAACGAUUUUGGGUCUUUUGGCAUUAGAUACAAGAACUUUUGGUACCCAAACACAAGUUUUGGUGCCCUUGUGUUUGUCCCCAACAUACUUGGCAACUACCUUGCCUGAUUUGUUGGUUAGCACAUAAGACGCAUCAAAAGUUUUAAAUGAAAUGUUAUGAUUGUUUGAUGCACUAGGAGUUUUCUUUUUAGGCAAUUUUGCACGAGUUGAUUGCCUAGAACUAGAUGUCUCACCCUUAUACAUAAAAGCAUGAUUAGGGCCAGAGUGAGACUUCCUAGAAUGAAUUCUCCUAAUUUUGCUCUCGGGAUAACCGGCAGGGUACAAAAUGUAACCCUCGUUAUCCUGAGGCAUGGGAGCCUUGCCCUUAACAAAGUUUGACAAUCUUUUAGGAGGGGCAUUAAGUUUGACAUUGUCUCCCUUUUGGAAGCCAAUGCUAUCCUUGAUGCCAGGGCGUCUCCCACUAUAGAGCAUGCUUCUAGCAAAUUUAAAAUUUUCAUUUUCUAAGUCAUGCUCGGCGAUUUUAGCAUCUAAUUUUGCUAUAUGAUCAUUUUGUUGUUUAAUUAAGGCCAUAUGAUCAUGAAUAGCAUCAAUGUUAAUAUCUCUACAUCUAGUACAAAUAGUAACAUGCUCAAUGGUAGAUGUAGAGGGUUUGCAAGAAUUAAGUUCAACAAUCUUAGCACGCAAAAUAUCAUUGUUAUCUCUAAGAUCGAAAAUGGAAGCAUUGCAAACAUCUAAUUCUUUAGCCUUAGCAAUUAAUUUUUUGUUGUCAAUCUUAAGGCUAGCAAGAGAAACAUUUAAUUCUUCAAUCUUAGCAAGUAAUUUAACAGUAUCAUCUCUAAGAUUGGGAAUUGAAGCAUCACAAACAUUUGAAUCAACCUUAGCAAUUAAACUAGCAUUCUCAUUUCUAAGGUUGACAAUAGUAUCAUGGCAAGUGCGUAGCUCACUAGAUAAUUUUUCACAUUUUUCUAUUUCUAGAGCAUAAGCAUUUUUAACCUUAACAUGCUUCUUAUUUUCCUUAAUUAGGAAGUCCUCUUGGGUGUCCAAGAGUUCAUACUUCUCAUGAAUAGCACUAAUUAAUUCAUUUAAUUUUUCUUUUUGUUGCAUGUUUAGGUUGGCAAAAAGGAUGCGCAAGUUAUCCUCCUCAUUUUCACUAGAAUUAUCUUCAUCACUAGAGGAAGCAUAUUUAGUGGAGGAUCUUGAUUUUACCUUCUUCCUUUUGUUGUCCUUUGCCAUGAGGCACUUGUGGCCGACGUUGGGGAAGAGGAGGCCCUUGGUGACGGCGAUGUUUGCGGCGUCCUCGUCGGAGGAGGAGACGGAGGAGCUCUCUUCGGAGUCCCACUCGCGACACACAUGGGCAUCGCCGCCCUUCUUCUUGUAAUACCUUUUCUUUUCUCUCCUCUUGCCCUUCUUGUCGUCGCCCCUGUCACUGUCACUAGAUAGUGGACAUUUAGCAAUGAAAUGAUCGGGCUUACCACAUUUGUAGCACACUUUCUUGGAGCGGGGCUUGUAAUCCUUCCCCUCCUUUGCUUGAGGAUUUGGAGGAAGCUCUUGAUGAUGAGCGCCAUCUCCUCGUUGUCGAGCUUAGAGGCGUCGAUGGGUUGUCUACUUGAUGUAGACUCCUCCUUUUUCUCCUCCGUUGCCUUGAAUGCAACCGGUUGCGCUUCGGGCGCGGAGGGGCCAUCUAGCUCGAUGAUUCUCUUUGAGCCUUUGAUCAUCAAUUCAAAGCUCACAAAAUUCCCUAUUACUUCCUUGGGAGACAUUAGUGUAUAUCUAGGAUUUCCUCGAAUUAAUUGAACUUGUGUAGGAUUAAGAAAAACGAGGGAUCUUAGAAUAACCUUGACCAUUUUAUGGUCAUCCCAUUUUGUGCUCCCGAGGUUGCGCAUUUGGUUCACCAAGGUCUUCAAGAGGUUGUACAUGUCUUGUGGCUCCUCCCCUUGGCGAAGCCGGAAGCGAUCGAGCUUUCCCUCGAUCGUCUCCCGCUUGGUGAUUUUGGUCACCUCAUCUCCUUCGUGCGCGGUCUUGAGUACGUCCCAAAUCUCCUUGGCGCUCUUUAGUCCUUGCACCUUGUUAUACUCCUCUCGACUUAGAGAGGCGAGGAAUAUAGUGGUGGCUUGUGAGUUGAAGUGUCGGAUUUGGGCGACCUCAUCCGAAUCAUAGUCUUCAUCCCCCGGAGAUGGUACCUGUACUCCAAUCUCAACAACAUCCCAAAUGCUAGUGUGGAGUGAGCUUAGAUGAUGCCUCAUUUGAUCACUCCACAUAUUAUAAUCUUUACCAUCAAACAUAGGUGGUUUUCCUAAUGGGACGGAAAGUAAUGGAGUACGUUUUGGAAUGCGAGGGUAGCGUAGAGGAAUCUUACUAAACUUCUUGCGCUCAUGGCGCUUAGAAGUUACAGACGGCGUGUCGGAGCUGGAGGUGGAUGGCGACGAAGAAUCGGUCUCGUAGUAGACCACCUUCCUCAUCUUCUUCUUCUUGUCAUCGCUCCGACGCGUCUUGUUGUGUGAAGGGGAUCCCUUCACCUUGUUGGCGGACUCCCCGGAUGGAGCCUUCCCAUGGCUUGUGGCGGGCUUCUCGCCGGUCCCGAACUCCCUCUUGGCGGAUGCUCCCGACAUCACUUCGAGCGGUUAGGCUCUAAUGAAGCACUGGGCUCUGAUACCAAUUGAAAGUCGCCUAGAGGGGGGGUGAAUAGGGCAAAUCUGAAAUUUAUAAACUUAAGCACAACUACAAGCCGGGUUAGCGUUAGAAAUAUAAACGAGUCCAAGAGAGAGGGUGCAAAACAAAUCGUGAGCGAAUAAAGAGCGAGACACGAUGAUUUGUUUUACCGAGGUUCGGUUCUUGCAAACCUACUCCCCGUUGAGGUGGUCACAAAGACUGGGUCUCUUUCAACCCUUUCCCUCUCUCAAACGGUCACUUAGACCGAGUGAGCUUCUCUUCUCAAUUAAACGGAACACGAAGUUCCCACAAGGACCACCACACAAUUGGUGUCUCUUGCCUUGGUUACAAUUGAGUUUGAUCACAAGAAAGAAUGAGAAAGAAAAGAAGCGAUCCAAGCGCAAGAGCUCAAAUGAACACAAAUGUUACUCUCUCUAGUCACUAUUUGAUUUGGAGUGAUUCCGGACUUGGGAGAGGAUUUGAUCUCUUUGGAGUGUCUAGAAUUGAAUGCCUUGGGGCUAUAAAAGGGACCCCUAGGCGCAUGGAGGAAGAUACAAAGCACACUUUGAGCAUUCUUGAUCAUUCAUACUUCGUCCUUGCGUACUCGUUUGACAUUCUUAGUGAUUUGAGCUCCGUUCUAGUGAGAACUUUGAGAUAUUCAUUUGAGCUCAAGUCUUGGUCGUGUGUGUGUGCGUAUUGCUGUGGACUUGUGUGUGUUGCUCAUCCCAUCCUUACUUCCGUGUUCAUUUGUGAUCAUCUUUUAUAAGGGUGAGAGACUCCAAAUUGUGGAGAUUCCUCGCAAAUGGGAUAUAGUGAAAGGAAAAGAAAUACCGUGGUAUUCAAGUGGAUCCUUGGAUCACUUGAGAGGGGUUGAUUGCAACCCUCGUCCAUUGGGACGCCACAACGUGGAGUAGGCAAGUGUUGAACUUGGCCGAACCACGGGAUAAACCAUUGUGCCUCUCUGUGUUGAUAUCCUUGUGGUUAUUGUGUUUUGCAAGAACUCCUUUCUAGCCAUUUGGCUUUAUUGCUCUAACACUUAAUCAAGUUUGUGGCAUUAAGUUUUAAGUUUUUACAGGAUCACCUAUUCACCCCCCCUCUAGGUGCUCUCAAUUGGUAUCAGAGCCAUUCUCUUCAAGAAAGGGACUAAUCACCAGAAGAGAUGGAUCCUAAGGGAAAGGGGAUGGUGGUCAACAAUAAUGAGAAGGAGUCCAUCUUCAACGAGCCAAGGGACGACAAAGUGAGAGCACCUAGAGGGGGGUGAAUAGGUGAUCCUGUAAAAACUGAAACUUAAUGCCAAAAACUUGAUUAGGAGUUAGCACAAUAAAGCCAAGUGGCUAGAGAGGAGUUCUUGCAAGACACGAUAACCACAAGAAGAUCAACACAGAUAGGCACAGUGGUUUAUCCCGUGGUUCGGCCAAGUCCAACACUUGCCUACUCCACGUUGUGGCGUCCCAACAGACGAGGGUUGCAAUCAACCCCUCUCAAGCGGUCCAAAGACCCACUUGAAUACCACGGUGUUUUGCUUUGUUUACUAUAUCCCGCUUGCGAGGAAUCUCCACAACUUGGAGCCUCUCGCCCUUACAAUUUGGUGUUCACAAAGAAGCACGGAAGUAAGGCUAGGAUGAGCAACGCACACAAGACACAAAAUCAGAGCACAAUACGCACACAAGUCACAACUCGAGCUCACAACACAACCCAAAUAGUUCUCUACUCAAAUGGAGCUCUAAUUGCUAUCACAAAGAAACGAAUGCGCAGAAUUGGAGUCUUGGUGCUUAGGAAUGCUUAGAGAAUGCUUGGUGUACUCCUCCAUGUGCCUAGGGGUCCCUUUUAUAGCCUCAAGGCAGCUAGGAGCCGUUGAGAGUAUUCCAGGAAGGCAAAUCUUGCCUUCUGUCGACUGGCGCACCGGACAGUAUGGUGCACCACCGGACACUGUCCGGUGCGGAUUUCUUUCCUGUUUUGGCGCAGCCGAUCGUUGAAGAUCCAGAGCCGUUGGCGCACCGGACACUGUCCGGUGCACACCGGACAGUCCGGUGCCCCCUUCUGACCGUUGGCUCUGCCACGCGUCGCGCGCGGAUUACGCAGCGGACCGUUGGCCCGGCCGACUGUUGGCUCACCGAACAGUCCGGUGCACCACCGGACAGUCCGGUGAUUUAUAGCCGUACACCGACGAAACCCGAGAGCAGCCAAUUCGCCAGAGCCAGCCUGGCGCACCGGACACUGUCCGGUGCACCCAGAUUGCGCAGAGUCUUGGCUGCUGAGCCAAGUCUUUUCCAAAUUGGUAUUUUCCUGUUUCUAGCACUUAGACACAAUACAUUAGUCUCCAAAACAAUGUACUAAGUCUUAGAAACAUACCUUUACUCUUGAUUUGCACUUCUAAAGUCUUUGGCACAAAUAUUACUCAAAGCAUUUGUGUGGAGCACUUAAUCACCAAAAUCUUAUAGAAAUGUCCCAAGGGUACAUUUCCCUUUCAAUCUCCCCCUUUUUGGUGAUUAAUGUCAACACAACAAAAGGCAACUAAAAGAAGUGCAACAUCAAUGCAAAUAAGAACACAAAUUUGUUUUGAAUCAAAUUUGGCAUAUUUGGAUCAUUCUUUGCCACCACUUGGUUUUGUUUUUGCAAAUCAACCUCAAUUUCCUAUCUCUAAGUCAAACAUACUUGUUGAGACAUAAAGAGAGUUGUUCCAAGAGAAAUUGAUCAAAGAUUUCAAAAACUCCCCCUUUUCCCCAUAAUCAACCAUUCUCCCCUCAAGAGGCCAACUUUUGACAAAAGAGAUAAUAAGAGAUUUUUUGACAAACCAAAAGCUCUAUUCUACUAUUUUCAAAAUUCUCAAGGGGUAGCUGAUCCAUUUGUUGCUUUGGCCUUAUUUUCUCCCCCUUUGGCAUCAAGCACCAAAACAGGAUCAAUCUUGGCCCUUAAACCCCAUUGCCUCACCAAAAUCUUCAAUCAAGAGUAAAAAGGCAAUAAGAGCAUGAAUAUGAACUUGGAGUUAGUUACUCUUUCAUCGGAGUGCAGUGGAAGUCUUUCAUGGUCCAAGUCCAACUUUCCCUUUCAAACCUCCUUUGAGACUAAAUUAAGACAACUCGUUGGGGAAGAGGGACGACUUGUUGAAGGCCGAGGCGGUGAGUCCUUCGUUGUCGGAGUCGGACGAUGAACAAUCCGAGUCCCACUCCUUGCCAAGGUGUGCCUCGCCCUUAGCCUUCUUGUAAGGCUUCUUCUUUUCCCUCUUCUUCUCUUGUUCCUGGUCACUAUCAUUAUAGGGACAAUUAGCGAUAAAAUGACCAAUCUUACCACAAUUGAAGCAUGAGCGCUUCCCCUUCGUCUUGUUCUUGUUGGGAUGCUCCUUGCGACCCUUUAGUGUUGUCUUGAAUCGCUUGAUGAUGAGGGCCAUUUCUUCUUCGUUAAGCCCGGCCGCCUCAACUUGCGCCACCUUGCUCCUCGUUGCUUUGAGAGCCACGGUUUGAGGCUCGUGGAUUGGGCCAUUCAACGCAUCAUCGACGUAUCUUGCCUCCUUGAUCAUCAUCCGUCUGCUUACGAACUUUCCAAGUAUUUCUUCGGGCGACAUCUUGGUGUACCUGGGAUUUUCACGAAUAUUGUUUACAAGAUGUGGAUCAAGGACAGUGAAGGACCUUAGCAUUAGGCGGAUGACGUCGUGAUCCGUCCAUCGCGUGCUUCCAUAGCUUCUUAUUUUGUUGACGAGGGUCUUGAGCCGGUUGUAUGUUUGGGUUGGCUCUUCUCCCCUGAUCAUUGCGAAUCUCCCAAGUUCGCCCUCCACCAACUCCAUCUUGGUGAGCAUGGUGACAUCGUUUCCCUCAUGUGAGAUCUUGAGGGUGUCCCAAAUCUGCUUGGCGUUAUCCAAGCCGCUCGCUUUAUGAUAUUCAUCCCUGCACAAAGAGGCUAACAACACAGUAGUAGCUUGUGCAUUUUUAUGAAUUUGUUCAUUAAUAAACAAAGGACUAUCCGUACUAUCAAAUUGCAUUCCACUCUCUACUAUCUCCCAUAUGCUUGGAUGGAGAGAGAACAAGUGACUACGCAUUUUGUGACUCCAAAAUCUGUAGUCCUCUCCAUCAAAGUGAGGAGGUUUACCAAGUGGAAUGGAGAGUAAAUGAGCAUUUGAACUUUGCGGAAUACGAGAAUAAUCAAAAGAAAAGUUUGAAUUGACCGUUUUCUUUUUCUCGUAGUUGUCGUCGUCCUUUUGGGAAGAAGAGGACUCGUCGCUGUCGUCAUAGUAGACGAUCUCCUUGAUGCGCCUUGUUUUCUUCUUAUUCCAGUCUUUUCUUUUGUGGCUCGAGCCCAAGUCAGUAGGCUUGUCAUCUUUUGGAUCAUUGACGAAGGACUCCUUCUCCUUAUCAUUGACCACCAUCCCCUUGCCUUUAGGAUCCAUCCCUUCGGGCGAUUAGUCCCUUAAGUGAAGAGAACGGCUCUGAUACCAAUUGAGAGCACCUAGAGUGGGGGUGAAUAGGUGAUCCUGUAAAAACUGAAACUUAAUGCCACAAAACUUGAUUAGGAGUUAGCACAAUAAAGCCAAGUGGCUAGAGAGGAGUUCUUGCAAGACACGAUAACCACAAGAAGAUCAACACAGAUAGGCACAGUGGUUUAUCCCGUGGUUCGGCCAAGUCCAACACUUGCCUACUCCAUGUUGUGUCGUCCCAACGGACGAGGGUUGCAAUCAACCCCUCUCAAGCGGUCCAAAGACCCACUUGAAUACCACAUUGUUUUGCUUUGUUUACUAUAUCCCGCUUGCGAGGAAUCUCCACAACUUGGAGCCUCUCGCCCUUACAAUUUGAUGUUCACAAAGAAGCACGGAAGUAAGGCUGGGAUGAGCAACGCACACAAGACACAAAAUCAGAGCACAAUACGCACACAAGUCACAACUCGAGCUCACAACACAACCCAAAUAGUUCUCUACUCAAAUGGAGCUCUAAUUGCUAUCACAAAGAAACGAAUGCGCGGAAUUGGAGUCUUGGUGCUUAGGAAUGCUUAGAGAAUGCUUGGUGUACUCAUCCAUGCGCCUAGGGGUCCCUUUUAUAGCCCCAAGGCAGCUAGGAGCCGUUGAGAGCAUUCCAGGAAGGCAAUUCUUGCCUUCUGUCGACUGGCGCACCGGACAGUCCGGUGCACCACCAGACACUGUCCGGUGCGGAUUUCUUUCCUGUUUUGGCGCAGCCGACCGUUGAAGAUCCAGAGCUGUUGGCGCACCGGACACUGUCCGGUGCACACCAGACAGUCCGGUGCCCCUUCUGACCGUUGGCUCUGCCAUGCGUUGCGCGCGGAUUACGCGGCCGACCGUUGGCACUGCCGACUGUUGGCUCACCGGACAGUCCGGUGCACCACCAGACAGUCCGGUGAUUUAUAGCCGUACGCUGCCGACGAAACCCGAGAGCAGCCAGUUCGCCAGAGCCAGCCUGGCGCACCGGACACUGUCCGGUGCACCACCGGACACUGUCCGGUGCACCCAGACUACGCGGAGUCUUGGCUGCUCAGCCAAGUCUUUUCCAAGUUGGUCUUUUCCUGUUUCUAGCACUUAGACACAAUACAUUAGUCUCCAAAACAAUGUACUAAGUCUUAGAAACAUACCUUUACUCUUGAUUUGCACUUCUUAAGUCUUUGGCACAAAUAUUACUCAAAGCAUUUGUGUGGAGCACUUAAUCACCAAAAUCUUAUAGAAAUGUCCCAAGGGUACAUUUCCCUUUCACAAAGUCAAUGACUCUAGCUCGAGUCAAAAGAAGAAAGACGGAAAGAAGAAGAGGCGCAUCAGGAAGGUUGUCUACUACAACAACGACGAAUCUUCCUCUUCUCAAAAGGACGACGAAUACGAGGAGAAAAAGAAAACGGUUAACUCGAACUUUUCUUUUGAUUACUCUCGUAUUCCGCAUAAUUCCAAUUCUCACUUGCUUUCUAUUCCACUUGGUAAACCUCCACACUUUGAUGGAGAGGACUACGGAUUCUGGAGUCACAAAAUGCGUAGACAUUUGUUCUCUCUUCAUCCAAGUAUAUGGGAGAUAGUAGAAAACGGAAUGCAAUUUGAUAGUUCGGAUAAUUCUAUGUUUAUCAAUGAACAAAUCCAUAAGAAUGCACAAGCUACUACUGUUCUUCUAGCAUCCUUGUGCAGGGAAGAAUACAAUAAGGUGAGCGGCUUGGACAAUGCCAAGCAGAUCUGGGACACCCUCAAGAUCUCACAUGAGGGGAACGACGUCACCAUGCUCACCAAGAUGGAGUUGGUGGAAGGCGAACUAGGAAGGUUCGCAAUGAUCAGGGGGAGGAGCCAACCCAAACGUACAACAGGCUCAAGACCCUCGUCAACAAAAUAAGGAGCUAUGGAAGCACGCGAUGGACAGACCACGACGUCGUCCGACUUAUGCUAAGGUCUUUCACCAUCCUUGAUCCUCAUCUUGUUAACUCUAUUUGUGAGAAUCCUAGGUACACCAAGAUGACGCCCGAGGAAAUACUUGGAAAGUUUGUAAGCGUGCGGAUGAUGAUCAAGGAGGCAAGAUAUGUUGAUGAUGCGUUGAAUGGCCCAAUCCACGAGCCUCAAACCGUUGCUCUCAAAGCAACGAGGAGCAGGGAGGCGCUACCUAGCAAGGUGGCGCAAGUUGAGGCGGCCGGGCUUAACGGGGAAGAAAUGGCCCUCAUCAUCAAGCGUUUCAAGACGGCGCUCAAAGGUCGCAAGGAGCAUCCCAACAAAAGCAAGACGAAGGGAAAGCGCUCCUGCUUCAAGUGUGGUAAGGUUGGUCAUUUUAUUGCUAAUUGUCCCGAUAAUGAUAGUGACCAGGAUCAAGAAAAGAAGAGGGAAACGAAGAAGACCUACAAGAAGGCUAAGGGCGAGGCACACCUUGGCAAGGAGUGGGACUCGGAUUGUUCAUCGUCCGACUCCGACGACGAAGGACUCGCCGCCUCGGCCUUCAACAAAUCGUCCCUCUUCCCCAACGAGCAUCACACAUGCCUCAUGGCAAAGGAGAAGAAGGUAAGAACUCGAAAUAAUACUACGUAUGCUUCUUCAAGUGAUGAUGAAUCUAGUGAUGAUGAAAUAGACUAUGCAUGUUUAUUCAAAGGGUUAGAUAGAACUAAAAUUGAUAAGAUCAAUGAAUUGAUUGAUGCUUUGAAUGAAAAGAAUAGACUUUUAGAAAAGCAAGAAGAUCUUUUAUAUGAAGAGCAUGAUAAAUUUGUAAGUGCGCAAAAUUCUCUUGCUUUAGAAAUUAAAAGAAAUGAAGUGCUUUCAUGUGAAUUGUCUACAUGCCAUGAAUCCAUUUCUAGCUUAAAGAGUAUCAAUGAUGACUUGAAUGCUAAGUUAGAAAUAGCUAAUAAAUCAACCUCUUGUGAAGAACAUUUUGUGAUCUGCAAUAAGUGUAAGGAUUUUAAUGUUGAUGCUUGUAGUAAACACCUAGUUGCCAUUUCUAAAUUAAAUGAUGAGGUGACUAGUCUUAAUGCUCAACUUAAGACUAGCAAAAAUGAAUUUGAUAAAUUAAAAUUUGCAAGGGAUGCCUACACGAUUGGUAGACACCCCUCAAUUAAGGAUGGGCUUGGCUUUACACUACAACACACCUUACCUUCUAUGACAUUCACCUUGUGUCAUUGAUAAGUGAAUAUAUGUCAUAUUUUGAAAUCUAUGACGCAUGUGUGACGUUUUUUGGUUCGUCAUGUAUGUGACGUGGCUAAACAUGUUCUAUGACGAUUUGAAGUUUUUCUGUCAUUAAAAUUGUGACAAUUAUACUUCGUCAUAGAUUUUAUGACAUUUGCAUAUUGUCAUUACGCCAAACAAGAACGUCACUAAUAAUCAGCUAGAGGCUUGCCAUGUGGACCAAAUUUUGUCAUAAAAUCAUGCGUACUAGUGAUGUGGAGCUGAUGUGGCAAAUGCUUAUGACGUUUAUCAAUAUGACAUGUCGCUUUUCAAUGACGAACUUCGUUGUCAUAAUUUAUAAAAUGGCUCGUCCUAGUGCUACGCCAAAAUUGUGGCCUCAUUAAAUCUAAUUUGUAAUUUUCUAUUAAUACAAUUUUAUAUUAGCAAAAUCUAUAGCCUAUUUUUUGAACAAUCACAUUCAAAUGUACAGAUGUUCGCAUGUCUUAUUUCACAAAAUGUACAUAUCAAAAGACCAAAAUGAUAGGAAACACAAUUUGUAAUUCAUAGGUCACAAUACGUCUUAUAAGAAGCAACAAUGUUCAACACAACUUGGAGCUACUAGUAACAAAAAUCAACAAACUUGGACCUACUUAGUUGUACAUGUAAACAACUAGCAACCAACUAUUGAUAAAACUAGACAUAGUUCAACUAACACUACAAGAAAUUGAUAAAUGUUCGUGGGUAAACUUAAGAACGUGGGUACCGACGUUCUUACUUGAGUUAAGUUCAUGGGUUAUGUUAAAAACGUGAGUACCGACGUUUUUAAGUUAAGUUCGUGGGCCCUGGCUAAAACCGUCGAGCUUAACGAGUUAGGAACGUGGGUAUUCACGUUCUUAAGUUAAGUUCGUCGGGCACGUGGACACCGUCGAACUUAAUCCUAAAAACCUAAAUCUAAUCGCACGCGCGACUCUCUCUCUCACCUGUCUCAUUCCCGCCCACGCGCUUCUAUCUCUCACCAGCAGACCGCGCCGCCGCCGCGCCACCGCUCUCCGGAUCAUCGGCCGUCCACCUCCUCCUCCUCCUCGCCCGCUCACCGGCCGUCCCUGCUGCGGUGCCGUCCACUUCCUCUCCCUGCCGCCGUAGCUCGCACAACCCCCAUCUCGCCCUCUUCCUUCUUGCCACACCGUCGCUACCACCGCCCCGCGCUGAGAGGGACCGACGCCAUGGACCUCCUCGAGAAGAUGAUGGCGCUUGGUAUGACGUGGUGUCUCGGUAGCAUUUGCCGGCUCAUCACUUUGCCAUCUGUGCACCUGCUUGAUUAGAUGUCCACCUAGGGUUUUGGGUCUAGUGCGGAAACAGGUGCCCACGCGGGGUACGGCGCGGAGGAGGACGACGAGGUGGGGUACGGCGGCGGGGGCGGGGAAGAGAUGGAUGAGGAUGCGGACGGGGACGCUGAGCAGCAGGAGGAUAUCACUCAGGACGACGCCUGGGCCGUCAUAUCCGCCUACUUCGAGGAGAAGGGCCUCGUGCGCCAGCAGCUCGAUUCCUUCGACGAGUUCAUCCAGAACACCAUGCAGGAGAUUGUUGAUGAGUCCGCCGACAUCGAGAUCCGCCCCGAGUCGUAGCACAACCCUGGCCGCCAGGCCGAAUUUGCCGAGGUUGUUGCCCCACUCUGAUCGAUUGUUACAAGUGAUGCCUGAAUGGUUCACUAUUUGCUGCUGCUAGACUGGGCGAUUAGCCUGGGGUGCUGGGGGAGCUUGGUAUGACGUGGUGUCUCGGUAGCAUUUGCCGACUCAUCACUUUGCCAUCUGUGCACCUGCUUGAUUAGAUGUCCACCUAGGGUUUUGGGUCUAGUGCGGAAACAGGUGCCCAAUUUUAUGGCUGAGGAUGAAUUUUGCACCGACAUAGGUGGACAGGGGAUUGUGGAAUUGUUCAGUUCUACUAGUGUCUAGAAUAGCUUCUGCUGAAGUUCCCUCUGUGUGAUAUAUGGUAGGGAAUUCUUGAGUUUGACAAGGAUAGCAUAAAAGAUUCCAGAGUGAGUUUUGUAUUGAUCAGGACAUUUGUAGUGAUCUUCAGUUGGUACUAGUAAUAUAUGGAGUUGAUCUUAUGAUGAAGAUAGCACGUCUCAUGUUUCGUGGGUUUUGAACCACCUGUACUUUAUUUUCUUGAGCUGUGUGGUGUGAUGUGAUUUGCAAAUAAUGAAUAAUGCAAGUAGAAGUGCUUGCUAAGGAAAAACACAAUUCUCAGAUUAACAUUGAAAAUUUCUGUGAAAUCAAUCAUUAAUGGCUAACCACUUGUGAUAAACAAAUAAGUCUCAAGAUCUUUUUGAAUUCUCUUGAACAAGUCAUGUAAGACAUGAAUUGGAUUUACGAAUGUUCAUCAGAAGUAAGCACCAGUAAAUACAUAACAUAUUUGUGCUUCUCUAGAAACUGAAGAGAACUAAACAUGUUCCCUUUCCUUAGUAAGUGUGCAAGAUUAUGAAUUGAAACUUGUAUUAAAAUGUUGAAGCUCUACACUGAUAUCUUUUGAUAGUGUCUGAAUUCAGCAGUCGCCUUCACUAAUAUAUGUGGGGUCACAAUGCAAUCUGAUGUUUGGGUCAUUCUAAUCCUUGGCAAUCUGCAAUUCCUAGUAAUAUAUCAUGCCAUCCUAGUCUAUAUGUGAAAAUAUCCUUGGAGACGAAAACAACAUAUACCAAAGCCUGUAGCAUACCAACACAAAUUUUAUAAAUAGUUAUUUUUUUGGUGCUAUGAUGUUUCAGCGGAACUCGAAAUAUCUUACGAUUUAUCAUUUUGCCUUUGUUCUUUUGUCCUUUGACUUAUAUUUCCCAUUAUAUUCUUCAUUAGACUCUGCACAGGAUCAGCUUUGGUCAAAUCUAUCUCAGCAAGCCAAUGAUGACUGAAGCCGAUGGAGAGACAGCUACUUUAUUUCCAAAAUCAGCAAGGCUCAGGAACUUGACAUACUCUGCACCACUGUAUGUUGAUGUGUCAUACAGAGUAAUGAAGAAAGGACAUGACUGUGAGGAAGUUACAGAGACUGCAGAGUAUCCAAAAGUGUUUAUUGGGAAGGUGCUGUACUUAACUUAUGAAUAAUUUUUUCUCAAUUUAUCGUUUUUUCUUCAACCCUCUAAUACUCUGCAGGUUCCAAUCAUGUUGCGCUCUAGUUACUGCACACUGUAUCAAUAAUCUGAGAAGGAUCUCACUGAACUUGGGGAGUGUCCUUAUGACCAAGGUGGUUAUUUCAUUAUCAAUGGAAGCGAAAAGGUUCUUAUUGCCCAGGAGAAGAUGAGCACUAACCAUGUCUAUGUUUUUAAGAAGAGGCAUCCUAAUAAAUUUGCAUAUGUGGCUGAAGUCCGUUCCAUGGCUGAGAACCAGAACAGACCAGCCAGCGGCAUGUUUGUACGGAUGCUUUCACGAGCAGGAGCAAAAGGGGUUAGUGACUUAUAAGUUUUCAAAAAUAGUUUUCAAUGCAUAUGCCUGCUUCUUACUUGUACAAUUCAGGGGGUGUAGUACCACAGUGAGGCAAACUGACUUUAUAAAAUGUUAAAUCUGUGAUAUGUUCCUUAUACUGCAGGGAUCAUCUGGUCAAUAUAUCCGUGCUACUCUACCUUAUAUUCGUCGAACUUACCGUAAGAACCUAGGGGACAAACUGCACUUAUUAAUGUUAGUGACAAAACCUGAAGCAUCUCCAAAAAUCCACAGAAUUUAUGGCUUCAAACAUCCUUGCUCUAUUUUUAGGCGUACCGUCUAGCAUUGGCAGCACUAAUCACCUGAGAACUUCUUCAUGACAUUCUUUCUUUGUCUCACUUCUAGCGGAGUAACAUUCUGCUAUGUUUCUUAUGUAAAAAAGCCCCCUUUUUAUAACAGGAAUGAUUUUUUGUGUUUUAGAAAAUGGUAAAGAACAAUUGGCUUGUCUGUCGUGUACUGGAUACGUACUUCGAGAUCAGAAUUCACAAAAAACAACAGUCAAAUCUGUUACACAUAGUUGUACUCAUCAUGGAGAUGUGAAGGAAAUCCCUUAUAUGGUAGGAAAGAUGCAGACUGUUUAAGAAGAUUAUAGGAAUAUAUAUAGCAAAAUCAUUAUCUUGAUUACCCACUUUUAUUGAUUGGCUGAUUGCUUUUUCAAGAUGCAGAUAUUUCUCAAUUAAGUUUAUAUACAAUGUAGUAUUUUUAUUUUAUUUUUUGUAGUGCGUUGGAGAAGACAUUGAUGAUUUGCAGUACACACCUAAACCCGAAUUUGAGGGGUAUUUUAGAGUUAAGAAUGUUCAAACUGAGGUAUCAGGAACUAUCGUUAUAUUGUUUAGCAUAAUAUCAACCGUAUGCAUCAUACUUAUUUUGCUAUAACCCCUUUAUUUUUGUUGUCUAUAGUUGGAUCUACUUAAAGCAUGGUUUUCUCACAUGCAAGAGGUUAAGGGGGUGUUUGGUUUCUAGGGACUAAUGUUUAGUCCCUACAUUUUAUUCCAUUUUUGUUCCAAAAUUGCUAAAUAUAGAAACUAAAUCUUUAUUUUAGUUUCUAUAUUUAGCAAUUUAUAUACUAAAAAGGAAUAAAGUGAAGGGACUAAACAUUAGUCCCUAGAAACCAAACACCCCCUAAGCCUGACAUUUAUGUUACAUACAACGAUGACUUUUUUGACUGGCCAUUUUUAGAGAAGAGGGCUGCACACCAUGGAAUAAAAAUGAAUGAGGUGCGUUGUUGAUUUAAUUCACUUUAGGUUUUAUUAGGAAGAAUGGGUAAUUUGGUUAUUAUAAUCUUGUAUCGUGGAAGCACUUUUAGAAAAAUAUGAUCUCCUUUAAGCUAAGCUGCAGCAGUAUAAAAAAACUCGGUUGGGGAGGGAAUGACCGCCCUCCCGGUAUAAUAAUAAGAAGGACCUGAACCACUGGUCCCGGCCAAGAACACCAGCGAACCCUAGCCCCCAAUCACUAACCGGCCGAUUACAACUGCUCACUCUGCAAGGAAAAUAAACAAGGGCAAGCUAUUCUUUAGUACUGUUCUAUGUGAAACAUGUUUUUGCUCUGCAUUUAUUUCUCACCUAGAGCAGAUUGAAUAAGACUUAGAAAUGGCAAAGUUGAUGACCGUUUCAUAUCUACUUCAUUUGUAUUUUUAUUGUUUCAGGAGAUUGGUUUCCAAUGUGACAAUAACCAGGGCGAGUGUCGGGCUAAAUUUUCUUGCCAUCUUGACUGUUUUGCUUGGGUGAAGCGAGACAGUUACCUUCCACAAGGAAGCCAAGGUCUAAAGGUGAUGCAUUACUUACAAACAAAAAUACAAAACUAACUUCAGGGUUUGAUGUUAUUCAUUUUUUAUGGAGUGCUUGGUUUUGUUUCUAAAUGUGUUAAUAAAACUACAUAUUUACAAUAGUACAAAACAAAUUUUUAGUGAUACGGUGUGGAGUAUACAAUCAAUAUGCAUAAUUUUAGCAAUUUUUUUAUUCCACGAGCACAACAAGGGCAUGUUAUUUAACUAUAUUUCAUUUCUCUUGUUACAUUAGCACACUUGCAGGCUGUUACAAAAGCCAAGCUACGUUACGAUCCUCUGGAGGUUAAUCCAGAAGAUAUGGUUCGCUUUGCAAUGGAGCAGCCACAGGUACCAAAAGUUUUCCUUUUUUUCUUAUCCUGAAGUGACGUUAUCUCCAAUGGAUUUUGUGUUUAGUUUUAUGGAUUGUACUCGUCUUAAUUUGAAAGAUUUGCCUGAGUUCAUUUUCACCCCAUUGUUUCUUUUUCAGACAAUGGCUUCGUAUUCUGUAUCAGACGAUGUUGCAACAUACUAUCUAUACAUGACUUAUGUCCAUCCUUUCAUCUUUUCUCUUGCAACCAUAAUACCUAUGUUACCUGAUGAGGUACUGUGGAAAGGAAGUGGGACACUUUGUGAAAUUCUGCUAAUGGUUCAGGUAUGUUUAGUGAAUAUUUUCUGCCAUGUUUCAAUAACAUAUGCAUCUUGAAGCAAUACCUUCAUCUAGAUCCAGAUGUUUUAUAUGAAACUCUCAAGUACUUGAGCUGUCAAAUUAUGCUGAAGUAGACCUUUUUCCUUUUGCUCUUCUGUUUUUUGAUGUAAAAUUGGCGAUGGUUUUAUUUUUAUGCCAUGCUUUUCCUUCCUGCUCAAGUUCUAAGUAUAUCAUCUGACUUUUUUGUUAUCUUAAGUUGCACCACAGACAGUUUAUGUGUUACAUAAAGCUUGUUUGCUUCUCAAGAGGAUGUAAAAUACACAUUUUCAGGAAAAGUCAUGUGGUUUUUUCCCACUCUUGCUUCAUUGCUUGUUCUUGGAUUUGAGCCCAUGUCAAGGGCUUGAACGCCCAAUUUCCAUACUAUGAAUAGUGCAUCUUUUCCAAUCUACCUCUGAUUACUCAUGCUUGCUGAAUUUAGUUUCUUUUAAUGUAUAGGCAUUCAAGGCUGGAGGCACAUAACUAUGAAUAGUGCAUCUUCUAAAAUCUCUCACUAAAUCAGCCAGCUCUUCUCACUAAAUCAGCCAGCUCUUCUGCUUGUCCCAUUGUCAUCCAGGUACUUAUUUGGGAUGUAUGUUCAGAUCUUGUGAUGCUGUUUAAUUCUUGCGAGGCAUAAUGUGUUGCAGUUGGAAUGAUGUCAACCUUUUUCCCAUUGUCAUCCAGAUACUUAUUUGGGAUGUUGAAGUACAACCAAAUAGACAUGCUGUCCUAGGAGCAAGCGAGUCUCGCCCUGAUCUGGUAUGAUUCAUUGUUUUGUUCAGUGUGCCAGAUUUAUGGCUUCAAUGAGAUGUUGGUGCUAGCUCAUCUGUUAAGUGAUGAUAGAUAACAGUAUGUCUACAUGUUGCUCUAGCACGAUUACUGGGGGUCUAGGAAUAUUUGCAACAUUGUUUCCAAGCUGGAUAGCCACAUGUCAGUACUUAGCUGAAGAUAUGCUGAUGGUAUUCAUUUCCUAGGGCAGCUAGUAACACUUUCCUGUUAUUCCAUUUGAAUAGAAUUUCCUACUAAUGCCAAUUCGCUCCCGUGAAUUUCAGGAAUGGGUUUACAAGCCCCAUAUAAUAAAUCAUAACAGUGCGGGAGCAUUUUUUGGAUGUCCUUCACACAGAUGCAGGCAAUGAAAGAAACAGAAAAUAGACAAUGUUAGCGCGGAGUGAGACAGAUAGGAAUUGGGAUAGAAUCAUCCUUGUUCUCAGAUCAGCUGUACAUUCUUUAUUAUGGUAGUAUAUCAUACCUGUACGAGUAGACUGACGGUUGCUUCCAAAUACUCCAUGUGUUUGAAAUAUGUAUUGUAUGUGAUAUUCUGUGUUGCAUGUGAUUUUAUGUUUGUCUAAUUUUUUAUUUCUGUAUUUUUUAUUUUUUUUUCUGAAAAAGGGAUAAGAACGUGGGUACCCACGUUCUUAAUGUUAAGAACGUGGGUACCGUCAAACAUAAUGUGCAGUCCACGUAGACCCACGCAGGCCAGAUAAGUUCGACGGCCACGUGGCCCCGUCGAACUUAACAAUAAGAACGUGGGUACCGUCGAACUUAUGAGAACAAAUUCGAUGGCCUCCGUCGAACUUAAUAACGCACGUUCUUAUUGUUAAGUUCGACGGUACCCAUGUUCUUAUUGUUAAGUUCGACGGUACCCACGUUCUUAACCUUAAGAACGUGGGGGCCAUCGAACUUACUUCUUUAAGUUCGUCCAAAAAUCGCCGUCGGCUAUAUUCGUCGGUAAACCCACGUUCUUAUGGUAAGUUCGACGGCCUAUUACAUUAAGUUCGACGGUUUUUCACCCACGUUCUUUAACCAGUUUUUUGUAGUGUAAAAACCAAAUUUCAGAACAGAAACAUCCUACAAUAGUUCACUGUUGGUGGCUUAGUAACUUUAUGACCCUGGAUUGUGUUGACCCUGGUUGAAGCUCAAUAGUUGGCGAAGGAGACCAUGCAUUUCUUGUGAUGUCUUCUUUAAACCCUCUAUUUCCUCAGAAUGUUUUACCCUUGACGUUUCUGAUUCCAUCUUCAAAUUAUCCAACUCUUGUCGAAGUUCUUUUUUUUCUUGCUUCUCAUUCUCAAGCUCAACCUGAAGAUCGUGGACCUAUAAAUAAACAUAACAUAUUACUUCAUAUCUAGACAUGCACAUAUAGAGAAAUAAGAACAAGAACAUAAUUAAUUGUAGCUACUUUCAGCUAGUUGUGCUGCUAGUCAAGAAUGGAAUAUGAUCUGCUAGUUGUGCAAAAAAAGGGCAAUCAAAAUAGUUUUAAAUUUUCUAGAUACUGUCAGCAUUAAUUCUAGCUACUUUCAGUUGCUCUUGUGUGUACAAUUGUACAGUAAUGGUAUAGUAACGUAUGAGAGUAGAUAGCAGCAACCUAGAACCAUUUAUUCGUCACCUAAUACCCUUAUCGUUGUCCAUGUACAGUACUUAGUACAACAUAAUAAGUAGUGGCAGCAGCCGCAGCCACUAAUUCUCGCAGUCAAACAAGAUGUUCUCUAUGUCAAACCCUUUAGAAAAAGUACAUGUUGCAUGUACAAAUGAUCCAAAGAAAGAAGGGAACAUGACUGGUAUGUGAAACACUUGUACCUGUGAUGAUAUUGCACCUCUAGAGGUACUCUUGGAGGCUGAACAAACACCUGCAACACGAAGAAAAGUAGUUGAUUUGACAACCUGAGAAACAGCUUCUUUUGCUGACUUUGGUUCCUGUCCAUCUUGUACUGGUUCACUCAUAAUGCCUUCCAUAUCAUCCUAGCAAAAUGACAAUAGUAGAUGUUUCUUACAUGGUAUUAUUGAUGUAUACUUUAUGUAGAGAAGGAAUAAAAGUAAACAAUCACUUACAAUUGCUUUCUGUACAGACUCGGUAAAUCCAUUUUUUUGCCACAAUGGAAGUUCUUGAAUAGAUCAAUUGAGGUGGGCUCUACAUCUUUGAAUAUAUCUUUCUUCUAAAAUAAUUGCAAACAGUAACGAGCUAUUACCUUGAAACAAGAACAUGGUCUCAAGAAUAGUGAUCAUACACAUUAUUGUUUCAUUUCUUACCACAACAUGGGCCUGUGCAAUGUAGCAUCGAGAUCCAGUGCGCUGAUGUAACCGGACAUUCUCUCGAUUUAGUUGGUUUUUGGUACACUUUUCCUGCAUAUGAUACAUGAGUGACAUGACACAAGAAAGUAUCUGGAUAAUAUAAAAGAUUCAAUGCAAGAUAGCAUGAAUGCAACAAGAUGAGAUGUUGCGUCUUCAAGAAAACAUUGAUAAUAAACAGUUGUAUUGCUUAUCGGGGAAGCUCUUAAACAUUUAAGAAUGGCACCGUAUACUGUGUAAAACGAACUUCUGUGCUAACCUGCUAAAACGUGUUGAGGGCCUUUAGAUCCAUAAUCAAAGGAUAACCUUAAUCCAACCUCAUAAUCUAGGCUUUUUUUCCAAAGAACCCCUCCUCCCGUUGUUCUCCGCCUGCUGCCAGCGGGCGGCACCGCCGUUCUCCGCCGCCCCACAACGAUUUUCCCCGUUGAUCCCCUCAGGAAACGUGAAUCUGUCGAUUGCUGCCGGCCCACAACGAUCUUCUCUGGCACCUAUCAUGGUCGACGCCAACCCACCCAAAUCAUCUCGGUGCGCUGCCACUGUCGACACCGACCUGCCUCGAUCUUCUCCAGUGCCUGCUGGUCUAACGAGUCCUUCGCCACCUGCUGUUGUUCUCUCUAUCCCCAGCCCUUCGAUCCCGGCCACAUUGAGCUCAACUCCAUGGAUCCUGCACAUCUCAUUUCAUCCUUUGGAACACCACUCUGUUUGGGUUUAGAUAACAGAGUUCAGCAGCACUCAAGCAUUCUGUUUGGGUUUACAUAGCAGAGUUUAGAUUAACAGCGUUCAACAUUCUGUUAAGUGCACCACCACCACUCCAUCAGCAACAUCGAAGAAAACCAAAGCAACAGCAAGUAGUAUCAGCGGCGUGUAUCAGUAGGAGCACUGAAGAAAAUGGUUUUGUUCUGGCAGCAGGGGGCGAUGGGUCUAUUUGGCUGAUUGUUUGUGUGGAAGUGCUGGUGGCUGGCCUGGCAUCUUCUAGGUGACGAUGAGCAGGGAGCCACAGGACUGUUUGGCCUCGAAGGAGAAAAUGUUUUGGUGGAUAGCAAAAUAGGAGAAAGUAGUGGUUCUUUAGAAGAAAAAGUUGAAUAUGACGUAGAACAAAAGAUUUUCAGUUCUGAUGAGAGAGCUGUAUAUGAAGAAGCCCUGAAGCAUAUCACUCAGGAAACGAAGGAGGAAGAUCUGCCCAAAGGUGGUAUGUCAGUUUUACUGCUUAAGCAUCAGAAAAUAGCAUUGGCGUGGAUGCUUUCGAAAGAGAAUUGUUCACAUUGUCGAGGUGGAAUUUUGGCAGAUGAUCAGGGUGUUGGGAAGACAAUUUCAACGAUUGCCCUUAUACAGAAGGAGAUGGUUAAGCAGUCUAGGUUCAUGACUGCUGGUUCAUACAGUACAAAGUUUGUCCCAAACAGUGAUUAUGACAAUGGCAGUGAUGUUGUGAUUAGCAUGGACAAGAAAGAACCGAAAGAUGAACCCUUGAAUGAGCUAGAUGGUUCUGCACGAUUGCAUGUCGCCAGCAGUCUUAAGCUCUGUGAUAGUAAGCCAAACACUGCUACUGAUAAAGUUGAACCUAAGAAGAAGGCUAGAGUGAGGGACUCUGCAUCAAACUUGAGGUCGAAGACUAGACCAGCUGCAGGAACAGUGGUCGUCUGCCCUGCUAGUGUUCUUAGGCAGUGGGCUAAUGAGCUCUCUGUGAAGGUUAUGGAAGACAAUAAAUUGUCAGUCUUGGUUUAUCAUGGAAGUUCAAGGACUAGAGAUCCUAAUGAGUUGGCAACAUAUGAUGUUGUUGUCACCACGUAUAUGACUGUGGCAAAUGAAGUACCUAAAGAAAAUUCUAAUGAUGAGCGAAAGAAAUGUGAAAUGGCCACUGGCUGAGUGUCUGAGGCUAUGAACAUAAAGCGUUAAUAGAUCAAAUUCAGCUAGCAACAAUACUCAAGCUUGUUAAAUUUAUAUUGACUGAAAAGAAUAAAUGAACACCCAGGAACCAACCAAUAUUGGUAUGGUGUCCACAAUUAACAUUAGAAGCUCAAAGGAAAUAUGUAACAAAUUCCAGCAUCACUAACUGACUAUGUUCAAAAGGAGAAUGUAGCAUACCUUAUCUAAUUAUUUUAAACAUAUUAUAAUUUAAUUGGCAUACCUUGUGCUUUGCGUCUGACCACAUCUCCACCAAUGCUUUCCAUUGAUCGUCUGUCAUAUGUUUAACUGGCGAUGUGGUCCUCACUUGAUUUGCUGGUAUACCAUUGAAAUAUUUUUUUUCAGCUGGUACCUCAUCUGUCGUUGUCCACCCUUGAGCAAAUCGGCACAUGCGGCUUUGAUUGCAUUAUUGUUGGUGUCCAUGGUGAAUUGGGCCUAGUAAAGAGCAUAAAUGGUAGAAUUUCAAAAAUGCAAAAAAGUUGAAUGAUAUUUGAAUGGAGUAACAUUGAAUGAUUGAAUUUCACUUACAGCAACUUUGCCGAUAUAGUUUGUAACAAUUGACUUAUCCUUCUUGUACUCUUUCCAAUGCCGGAGGAUGGGCAUUUGUUGCCUAAGUAUAAUCCCGCCCUCUGAUGCAAGUUUGGCAGCUUGCAUAGGUGCUUCUGGCCGUAUCUUUCCUUCAGCAAUGUGUAUGGGGAUGUUAGUGCAUAAACCUCUACUUAUCCUAUCCAGUUCUCUGCCCAUACUUCUAUUCCUUUUUCCAUUUGGAUCUAUGGUUGCCUCAAGUGCACCUAAUGAAAUCAUAUAAAUUGGUUAGUGUCAAUCUAUAAGUUGUUGUUUGCAACACACAAUCAGGUUAUGUAUAUAAUGAAGCCAGAAUAAUUGUAAUCAUGGAAUUGUAAAGAUGAUAUUGCUAAUCUAGCCAGAAGGACAUUAAUCAUGGAAUUGUGAUGCUUAAUGGUUUGUUACAAAUGGAAAAGUUAUCUCCAGUUUUGAGCCACACUCAUUAUUAUGUUUACUGAUUACCAGAGUAAUAGGACACAUGAUAGUAUGUAACUAAUCAUUGUAUGAAAACAAAAUGAAAAUAGAUUGCAUUGCACAAAUUAGAUAGAAUCACUUGCCUUGAUCACUAGAGUUGUUCUGGUCCUGUUGAGGGGUGGAUGUGAUAGUAGAGAUGCCUAAGGUUUCUACUUGUUGCAGUUCUGGACCGAAAGUUAAUGCCAAAUCCCUUGUAUUCUGCCUAGUAAAUCUUGUAGGUUCAUCUUGUUGCGCAGGUGCUGUCGGGGACCAUAAUUAGGGGUACCCUCAAGACGCCUAAUUCUCAGCUGGUAACCCCCAUCAGCAUAAAGCUGCAAAGGCCUGAUGGGUACGAUUAAGUCAGGGAUCAGUCCACACGAGUGACUCGAUCACGCUUCACCCGGGCCUAGCCUCGGCCAAGGGCAGCCGACCUCGAGAGACUUCCGUCUCGCCCGAGGCCCCCCUUUUUACGGCGGACACAUCACCGGCUCGCCCGAGGCCUUGGCUUCGCUCAGAAGCGACCCUGACUAAAUCGCCACACCGACUGACCGAGUUGCAGGAGCAUUUAACGCAAAGAGUGAGUCAGACAGACAGUCAGGCCUUGCCAAAGGCGCCACGGCGAACUCCGCUCCGCCCGACCCCAGGGCUCGGACUCGGGCCAAGACCCGGAAGACGGCGAACUCCGCUCCGCCCGACCCCAGGGCUCGGACUCGGGCUAAGACCCGGAAGACGGCGAACUCCGCUCCGCCCGACCCCAGGGCUCGGACUCGGGCUGAGACCCGGAAGACGGCGAACUCCGCUCCGCCCGACCCCAGGGCUCGGACUCGGGCUAAGACCCGGAAGACGGCGAACUCUGCUCCGCCCGACCCCAGGGCUCGGACUCGGGCUAAGACCCGGAAGACGGCGAACUCCGCUCCGCCCGACCCCAGGGCUCGGACUCGGGCUAAGACCCGGAAGACGACGAAACUCCGCCUCGCCCGACCCCAGGGCUCGGACUCCGCCCUGGCCUCGGCCAAACGACCUCCGCUUCGCCCGACCCCAUGGCUCGGACUCAGCCUCGGCAACAGAAGACAGACUCAACCUCAGCUUCGGAGGAGCCCCCACGUCACCCCGCCUAGGGCACAGACCCGCCACGUCAACAGGAAGCGUCAUCAUCGUCCUACCCUGAAUCGACUCGGGUCACGGAGAACAAGACCGGCGUCCCAUCCGGCCAGCUCCGCCGGAUGGGCAAUGAUGGCGCUCCACAAGCUCUGUGACGACGACGGCCCCCAGCUCUCUUACGGAAGCAGGGCGACGUCAGCAAGGACUCGACCGCUCCAACAGCUGUCCCUCCGCCAGGCUCCGUCGCACCUCCGACAGCCACGACAUCACGCCAGCAAGGUGCCAAGACCUCUCCGGCUGCCACAUUGGCAUGUACCUAGGGCGCUAGCUCUCUCUCCGCUAGACACGUAGCACUCUGCUACACCCCCCAUUGUACACCUGGAUCCUCUCCUUACGACUAUAAAAGGGAGGACCAGGGCCUUCUUAGAGAAGGUUGGCCGCGCGGGACCGAGGACGGGACAGGCGCUCUCUUGGGGCCGCUCGCUUCCCUCACCCGCGUGGACGCUUGUAACCCCCCUACUGCAAGCGCACCCGCCCUGGGCGCGGGACGAACACGAAGGCCGCGGGACUUCCACCUCUCUCACGCUCGACUCCGGCCACCUCGCCUCUCCCCCCUUCGCGCUCGCCCACGCGCUCGACCCAUCUGGGCUGGGGCACGCAGCACACUCACUCGUCGGCUUUGGGACCCCCCUGUCUCAAAACGCCGACAGUUGGCGCGCCAGGUAGGGGCCUGCUGCGUGCUGACGAACAGCUCCCCGUCAAGCUCCAGAUGGGCAAUCUCCAGCAACCUCUCCGGCCCGGGGCGGUGCUUCGUUUCGGGACUCUUGAGUUCAUGUCCUUCGACGGCAGCUACGACAUGAUACUUCUUCCACCGCCGCGCGACAACGACAAUGGCGGCCGACAACCCGCUCGUCGGCGGCGGAAUCGACGACACCUUCCCCGCGUGGUGGAAGAACAACAUUCGAGCUCGCUCCGUUCUCUCCCCCGCCAACGGAGGAGGAGGCGGGGCCAUCAAGGCCAAGCGGGAGGCCGCGCUUCGUUGGCCGUCGAGCGAAUCGACGCCCCCGACGCCCCGACGGAAGGCACGCCGGACGUCAACCUCGCGUUCAAGACGAAGGCAAGCGCCGUCCCCCCGCGACACGCUGACCCCGAGCAAGAAGACGGUGCCGGCGCGCUCGCGGAAAGCCUGCAGGACGUCGCCCUCGUACCUGAGAUGACGGUGCAACCAGUCCCCGAUGCGACUACGUCGCUCCUCGUCGACCAAAAGGUACCGACUAACUCCCAUCUUACGUCAUUUCGACUCGGCCUCAACCCGCCAAACGACCUCGCUUUGGCGGGCGCUCUCAUUGAGGCGAGUGCAACCCCACUGGGGUUUCGUAUACGAUCGCCUUGGGACCGGCUGACGGACGUCUCGACCUACGGGCCCUCUGGGUCCGAGGAAGACGACGACCCCAGCGUCUGUUGGGAUUUCUCCGAACUUGGCAACCCCAGUGCCAUGCGGGACUUCAUGACCGCAUGUGACUACUGCCUAUCCGACUGUUCCGACGGAAGCCGCAGCCUUGGCGACGAGAGCUGCGGCCCAAGCCGCGAAUGUUUCCACAUCGAGCUAGGGGAUCCCUCCGAAGGCAACCAUCUCGGCAUGCCGGAGGACGGUGAUCUUCCUAGGCCGGUGCCUCGCGCCGACAUCCCACGGGAGCUAGCUGUGGUCCCCGCUCCAGCGGGAGGUUACGACCCACAACUCGAGCAAGUCCGCGAGGCGCAGGCCAGGCUCAACGAGGGAACAGGAGCGCUUGAGCCGAUCCGUCGGGACGUCGGGCAGGUAUGGGCGGACCAACCCCUGGCCGGAGAAAUACGUCACCUGCCCCAAGGCCUCCAGCACCGUGUCGCCAACGAUGUCAGGGUCAGGCCGCCGCCCGCAUCCAGCGGGGUUGGUCAGAACCUGGCAGCCGCAGCGAUGCUCCUCCGCGCGAUGCCGGAGCCAUCAACCACCGAGGGUCGGCGAAUCCAGGGAGAGCUCAAGAAUCUCCUGGAAGGCGCUGCGGCCCGACGGGCCGAGAGCACUGCCUCCCGAAGGCAAGGAUAUCCCUCAGAACCUCAUGUCGCGACUUCCCGAUUCAUGCGGGAAGCCUCGGUCUACACCGGGCGCACGCGCAACACCGCGCCUGCGGCCCCGGACCACCUCGGCAACGAGCACCAUCGACGCGACCGUCGGGCCCACCUCGACGAAAGGGUGCGCCGAGGCUACCACCCCAGGCGUGGGGGGCGCUACGACAGCGGGGAGGAUCGGAGUCCCUCGCCCGAACCACCCGGUCCGCAGGCCUUCAGUCGGGCCAUCCGACGGGCGCCAUUCCCGACCCGGUUCCGACCCCCGACUACUAUCACGAAGUACUCGGGGGAAACGAGACCGGAACUGUGGCUCGCGGACUACCGCCUUGCCUGCCAACUGGGUGGGACGGACGACGACAACCUCAUCAUCCGCAACCUCCCCCUGUUCCUCUUCGACACUGCUCGCGCCUGGUUGGAGCACCUGCCUCCGGGGCAGAUCUCCAACUGGGACGACUUGGUCCAAGCCUUCGCUGGGAAUUUCCAGGGCACAUACGUGCGCCCCGGGAAUUCCUGGGACCUUCGAAGCUGCCGGCAACAGCCGGGGGAGUCGCUCCGGGACUACAUCCGGCGAUUCUCGAAGCAGCGCACCGAGCUGCCCAACAUCAUCGACUCGGAUGUCAUCGGCGCGUUCCUCGCCGGCACCACUUGCCGCGACCUGGUGAGCAAGCUGGGUCGCAAGACCCCCACCAGGGCGAGCGAGCUGAUGGACAUCGCCACCAAGUUCGCCUCUGGCCAGGAGGCGGUCGAGGCUAUCUUCCAAAAGGACAAGCAGCCCCAGGGCCGCCCAUCGGAAGAGGCUCCCGAGGCGUCUGCUCCACGCGGCGCCAGGAAGAAAGGCAAGAAGAAGUCGCAAUCAAAACGCGACGCCGCUGACGCGGACCUUGUCGCCGCCGCCGAGUACAAGAACCCUCGGAAGCCCCCUGGAGGUGCGAACCUCUUCGACAAGAUGCUCAAGGAGCCAUGCCCCUACCAUCAGGGGCCCGUCAAGCACGCCCUCGAGGAGUGCAUUAUGCUUCGGCGUCACUUCCACAGGGUCGGGCCACCCGCCGAGGGUGGCAGGGCCCGCGACGACGACAAGAACGAAGAUCACCAAGCAGGAGAGUUCCCCGCGGUCCGCGACUGCUUCAUGAUCUAUGGAGGGCAUGCGGCGAAUGCCUCGGCUCGGCAUCGCAAGCAAGAGCGCCGGGAGGUCUGCUCGGUGAAGGUGGCGGCGCCAGUCUACCUAGACUGGUCCGACAAGCCCAUCACCUUCGACCAGGCCGACCACCCCGACCAUGUGCCGAGCCCGGGGAAAUACCCGCUCGUCGUCGACCCCGUUGUCGGCAAUGUCAGGCUCACCAAGGUCCUGAUGGAUGGGGGAAGCUGCCUCAACAUCAUCUACGCCGAGACCCUCAAGCUCCUGCGCAUCGAUCUGUCCUCCGUCCGAGCAGGCGCUGCGCCCUUCCACGGGAUCAUCCCUGGGAAGCGCGUCCAGCCCCUCGGGCGACUCGACCUCCCCGUCUGCUUCGGGACGCCCUCCAACUUCCGAAGGGAGACCCUGACGUUCGAGGUGGUCGGGUUCCGAGGAACCUACCACGCCGUACUAGGGAGGCCAUGUUACGCGAAGUUCAUGGCCGUCCCCAACUACACCUACCUGAAGCUCAAGAUGCCGGGCCCCAACGGGGUCAUCACCGUUGGCCCCACGUACAAACACGCGUUCGAAUGCGACGUGGAGUGCGUGGAGUACGCCGAGGCCCUCGCCGAGUCCGAGGCCCUCAUCGCCGACCUGGAGAACCUCUCCAAGGAGGUGCCAGACGUGAAGCGCCAUGCCGGCAACUUCGAGCCAGCAUAAACGGUUAAGGCCGUCCCUCUUGACCCCAGUGGCGACACCACCAAGCAGGUCCGGAUCGGUUCCGGGCUCGACCCCAAAUAGGAAGCAGUGCUCGUCGACUUUCUCCGCGCAAACACCGACGUCUUUGCGUGGAGUCCCUCGAACAUGCCCGGCAUACCGAGGGAUGUCGCCGAGCACUCGCUGGAUAUUCGGGCCGGAGCCCGACCCGUCAGGCAGUCUCUGCGCCGAUUCGACGAGGAGAAGCGCAGAGUGAUUGGCAAAGAGAUCCACAAGCUAAUGGCAGCAGGGUUCAUCAAAGAGGUAUUCCAUCCCGAAUGGCUCGCCAACCCUGUGCUUGUGAGGAAGAAAGGGGGGAAAUGGCGGAUGUGUGUAGACUACACUGGUCUCAACAAAGCAUGUCCGAAGGUUCCCUACCCUCUGCCCCGCAUCGAUCAAAUCGUGGAUUCCACCGCUGGGUGCGAAACCCUGUCCUUCCUUGAUGCCUACUCAGGGUAUCACCAGAUCCGGAUGAAAGAGUCCGACCAGCUCGCGACUUCUUUCAUCACGCCGUUCGGCAUGUACUGCUAUGUCACCAUGCCGUUCGGUUUGAGGAAUGCGGGCGCGACGUACCAGCGGUGCAUGAACCAUGUGUUCAGCGAACACAUCGGUCGCACAGUCGAGGCCUACGUCGAUGACAUCGUAGUCAAGGCAAGGAAGGCUUCCGACCUCCUCUCCGACCUUGAAGUGACAUUCCGAUGUCUCAAGGCGAAAGGAGUCAAGCUCAAUCCUGAGAAGUGUGUCUUCGGGGUGCCCCGAGGCAUGCUCCUAGGGUUCAUCGUCUCCGAGCGAGGCAUUGAAGCCAACCCGGAGAAGAUCGCGGCCAUCACCAGCAUGGGGCCCAUCAAGGACUUAAAAGGUGUACAGAGGGUCAUGGGAUGCCUCGCGGCCCUGAGCCGCUUCGUCUCACGCCUCGACGAAAGAGGUCUGCCUCUGUACCGCCUCUUAAGGAAGGCCGAGUGUUUCGCUUGGACCCUUGAGGCCGAGGAAGCCCUCGGCAACCUGAAGGCGCUCCUUACGAAGGCGCCUGUCUUGGUGCCCCCGGCGGAUGGAGAAGCCCUCUUGGUCUACGUCGCCGCAACCACUUAGGUGGUUAGCGCCGCGAUUGUGGUCGAGAGGCAAGAGGAAGGGCAUGCAUUGCCCGUUCAGAGGCCGGUCUACUUCGUCAGCGAAGUGCUGUCCGAGACCAAGAUACGCUACCCACAAGUUCAAAAGCUGCUAUAUGCUGUGAUCCUGACAAGGCGGAAGCUGCGACACUACUUCGAGUCUCAUCCGGUAACUGUGGUGUCAUCCUUCCCCUGGGGGAGAUCAUCCAGUGCCGAGAGGCCUCGGGCAGGAUCGCAAAGUGGGCGGUGGAAAUCAUGGGCAAAACGAUCUCGUUCGCCCCUCAGAAGGCCAUCAAGUCCCAGGUGUUGGCGGACUUCGUGGCCGAAUGGGUUGACACCCAGUUGCCGACGGCUCCGAUCCAACCGGAGCUCUGGACCAUGUUUUUCGACGGGUCGCUGAUGAAGACAGGAGCCGGCGCGGGCCUGCUCUUCAUCUCGCCCCUUGGAAAGCACCUGCGUUACGUGCUGCGCCUCCAUUUCCCGGCGUCCAACAAUGUGGCCGAGUACGAAGCUCUGGUCAACGGGUUGCGGAUCGCCAUCGAGCUAGGGGUCAGACGCCUCGACGCCCGUGGUGAUUCGCAGCUCGUCAUCGACCAAGUCAUGAAGAACUCCCACUGUCGUGACCCGAAGAUGGAGGCCUACUGCGACGAGGUUCGGCGCCUGGAAGACAAGUUCUUCGGGCUCGAGCUCAACCACAUCGCUCGGCGCUACAACGAAACCGCAGACGAGCUGGCUAAAAUAGCCUCGGGGCGAGCGACGGUCCCCCCGGACGUCUUCUCCCGGGAUCUGCAUCGACCCUCUGUCAAGAUCGACGACGUGCCCGAGCCCGAGGCACCCUCGGCUCAAGCCGAGGCGCCCUCAGCUCGGCCCGAGGCACCCUCGGCUCAGCCCGAGGUACCCUCGGCCCCCGAGGGCGAGGCACUGGACGUCGAGGAAGAGCAGAGCGGGGCCACGCCUGAUCGAGAUUGGCAGGCCCCGUACCUGCAAUAUCUCCGUCGAGGAGAGCUACCCCCCGACCAAGUCGAGGCUCGGCGGGUAGCGCGACGCGCCAAGUCGUUCGUCUUGCUGGGCGAUGAAGGGGAGCUCUACCAUCGCAGCCCCUCGGGCAUCCUCCAGCGAUGCAUCUCCAUCGCCGAAGGUCGGGAACUGCUGCAAGAAAUGCACUCGGGGGCUUGUGGCCACCACGCAGCGCCCCGAGCCCUUGUCGGGAAUGCUUUCCGGCAAGGCUUCUACUGGCCAACGGCGGUGGCUGACGCCACUAGAAUUGUCCGCACCUGCGAAGGGUGCCAAUUCUAUGCGAAGCAGACCCACCUGCCCGCUCAGGCUCUGCAGACGAUACCCAUCACCUGGCCCUUCGCCGUAUGGGGUCUGGACCUCGUCGGUCCCUUGCAGAAGGCGCCCGGGGGCUACACGCACCUGCUGGUCGCCAUCGACAAAUUCUCCAAGUGGAUCGAGGUCCGACCUCUGAACAGCAUCAGGUCCGAGCAGGCGGUGGCGUUCUUCACCAACAUCAUCCAUCGCUUCGGGGUCCCGAACUCCAUCAUCACCGACAACGGCACCCAGUUCACCGGCAAAAAAUUCUUGGAUUUUUGCGAGGAUCACCAUAUCCAGGUGGACUGGGCCGCCGUGGCUCAUCCCAUGUCGAAUGGGCAAGUAGAGCGCGCCAACGGCAUGAUUCUACAAGGGCUCAAGCCUCGGAUCUACAACGACCUCAACAAGUUCGGCAAGCGGUGGAUGAAGGAACUCCCCUCGGUGGUCUGGAGCCUAAGGACGACGCCGAGUCGCGCCACGGGUUUCACGCCGUUUUUCCUGGUCUACGGGGCUGAAGCUAUCUUGCCCACUGACCUGGAAUACGGCUCCCCGAGGACGAGGGCCUACACCGAUCAAAGCAACCAAGCUAGCCGAGAAGAAUCGCUGGACCAGCUGGAGGAGGCUCGGGACAGGGCCUUACUACACUCGGCGCGUUACCAGCAGUCCCUGCGACGCUACCACGCCCGAGGGGUCCGGUCCCGAGACCUCCAGGUGGGCGAUCUGGUGCUUCGGCUGCGGCAAGACGCUCGAGGGAGGCACAAGCUCACGCCCCCCUGGGAAGGGCCAUUCGUCAUCGCCAAAGUUCUGAAGCCCGGAACAUACAAGCUGGCCAACAAUCAAGGCGAGAUCUACGGCAACACCUGGAACAUCAAACAGCUACGUCGCUUCUACCCUUAAGAUGUUUCCAAGUUGUUCAUAUACCUCGCACCUACGCAAAGUUUAGUCGUCAAGGAAGGAUCGGCCUAGCCCCGGCAAAGCCCGACGCUCCCUCGGGGGCUAAAAGGGGAGAGACCCCCUCUGCGUCAAUUUUUCCUCGAAAAAGGAUCUCUUUCUAGCAGGAUUACUCUCGUGCUUCUUGACUACUUCGGAAAGCGGAUCCUGGAAACGACGGAGUACACGUAAGCAGCCAAGGCUGACCGAGCCGAGGGACUCCUACGCCUUCGGGAUACGGAUACCUCACUCAUCACCUUCUGCGAUAAGUAACUCACGCUCAGAUAAAGCGACUCCGUGGACCGAACAAGUCUUCACGCUCAGAAGCUCUCCUGCCGAAGCAGUCCUUCAAGCUUUCUCGACUAAGUCGGGGACAGGGCCUCAUGGACGGGUGAAAGUACGCGUAAGCGGCAAGGCCGACCGAGCCGAGGGAUUCCCACGCCUCUGGGAUACGGAUACCUCACUCGUCCCUUCCGCGAGAAGUAACUCUCGCUCACACAAACAUCCCUGUUACCGACAGAGUCCAGAUGCUCGAAACAAGAGGAAAAAAGACGCAGCUUCGCAAGCACGGCGAGGGUGUGUUUUCUGGCCUCGGCGGCCGCAGAAGGCACACGCUACAAGACGAUCUGAUCCUGCAGGCUCGGGUCUUCACGCUGAAGGGAGCCGUAGCACCCUCGGCAUCGACGACGUCUUCAGCUAUGUCCGACCCAGCCUCGGACGGCGGCGCGGUCCAGGGACCCCUCCGGGAAUCCGGCCCGAGCAGGCGGCUCGGCCGGUUACCCCUAGGGCCUCGGCCAACCGGCUUCCAAGGGUGCCAGCCCGACCCGAGGCCUCGGCGGAUCGACUUUGGCGUCGGCUCCGCUGACGGACAACACGACUAGGCUCCGGCCAACCAGGUUCCCAUUCUCGAGCCAACUCCGCCUCUGUUUAUACUGAUAUCGCUACCCCUGGCCUCGGCUCAUCGAAGGGCGGCCGAGGGGUCUCUUUAACUAAGCUAGAGGAGCCCCAGACAACAAGGCCGAUCGGGCCGAGGGAUUCCCACGCCUCUGGGAUACGGAUACCUCAUUCGUCACCUUGACACGGGGCGACUCAUGCUUGGUAAAGCGGUUCAGAUAACCAACAGGCGAGACUUAGUGCUCGAAAAUGAGGAAAAAACACGGCUCCGUGCCGAAAUUACAUACAUGUUCAGGCCCCGACAGCCGCAAUGAACAAAAAACACACUGGCAUUCAAAGUGCCAUCACAAACGGAACUCCGGUUCCGUCCCCGUGGGUACGAGCGACCUCGGGCCUGCGGGGCGGCGAACGCCGGGAGGCUCGCCAGCGACCUCUGCAGCAGCAGCCAUGGCCCCGGGUGAACGCGGCCACCGGAAGGCUCUUGUUCGUGGUCCCGCUCAAGGGACACGAACAAGCCAUCAAAGCCAAAGAGCGGGCCGCUCCCAAGCGCUCCGGUAGAUCCUCGCUGCCGUCCUCGCCGCGAAUGCGAGGAGGAAGACGGAAUGUUGCAUCCUAGCUGGACAGCAACAGUUCGCCUUCCCCGGCAUGACUGGAGGACGACUCCGUCGUAGCGCGGGAGGGCGAUUGCCACCACCAGAAGCUGGAAGAGGAGGUGGUUCGCCGACCCGCACAUGAGGUAGAGUCCCGGCUCGCCUCGACCCCCGCCCCAGCGAGGAUGACGAACACACCCGAUGCUGAGGGCGGGAUCACAGCCUGGUUUACCUCUCCCCAUCCAGGAGCUGGAGGUCACCGUCUUGGGUGACCACCGGCGGGAGAAAGCAACCAGGCUGCGUGAUGAAAAUCCUUGAAGCCGAACGAUGGCUGAGAGGUACCAACUCCCAUGGAGUUGCGUUCCUCCAACGAGGAGGCAGAAAAGCGGCGGGUACCCCCCAUCCGGGGGCUUGGAAGAUGGAAAGACACGACGCAUAAGGGAGGAAGAAGGCAUGGUUGCCUUCUGAAAGGAGUCUCCCUCCU
Molecule: long non-coding RNA, 75590 nt
Filed under: Zea mays
Lineage: Eukaryota; Viridiplantae; Streptophyta; Magnoliopsida; Poales; Poaceae
Description: long non-coding RNA (ZMAY_LNC001938)
Source: RNAcentral